GCCCAAGGUCUAUGAUACCUCAAAGUGUUCCAAAUGAGGUUUCUAGGCAGACAUUAGCCUCCGAGCGAAUCUACGCCUAGGUGUUUUAGCACUCCGAUCGUCUAACAAAGAGGGGAUUUCAGCCUAAACAACAAGAUCCGGUUGCCCAUCAGUUCAUUAAUUUAGGAUUUCCUCAAACAUAGGCACUCGAGAUCCGUCUUCAUGCAAGGAAUGUGGUAAAUAGCCUGGCAAAGGAAUCUUCUAUAGAUGGACCGAAACCUGACCUAAAGGAUUAGCCUGGGGCAGCAAAAGUGGUUCAAAGACUUAACCCUAUCCAAUUGCUGCUAACGAUGCUUCUUUUUUUGUGUUUACUGACACAACGAGCCCAACAGGAACCUUACCUCUGAAAAAUAGGACUUGAUUACAGUAAGUGGGGCUGGCUCUUAUAGGAUAUCUAUUUCUAUCUGAACUAAGGUUAUCCAGGUAUCGAUCCUAGUAACAUGUGCUAAAGCACCUUUCCGGCAAUAAAUCCGCUGAAUAUGCUUUUGGGGGAGACUCCGCUCAGAUCUUAUUCUGUAUUCUUGUUUGUCUUAUUCUGUAUUCUUUCUUGUUUGUCUUAUUCUGUAUUCUUGUUUGUUAAUGGGUGGGCCAAAGCUUUGCUUUGCCUAGCGUUAGCGAGAAAACUACAUAUUUCAAGGCAAGGCCAGACCAAUGGAUUGAUUCUAUGGCAAAGGUGGGUCUGAAAGCGUGUAAAUAGCUUCUGGUGGACCCAAACUCUGCAAAAGAAAGGGUAAAUGGAUCCGAACUUUGGCCUGCCUUAUUCUUUUUAGUAUAGGCAUCGAGGCUAGAAGACUGUGAUAGAAAAACACUCCGCGAGGCAGAAUCUUCCAACCAUUUGUGUGUGGUUGUAUAGUAAUCCAGUUCGGCCUGAAGACGGGUAUAAAGUCAGUAAGUUUCGAAUGGGAGAGCAAAAGAGGCGAAUAUCAAUGACCAGACGAAUCCGCUGCAAGGGCAUCCGCCUAUGUUGUUACGCCAGUGAUUGUAUAAAAAGAGUGAAACGAGCAGACCUUGAAACCUAUAUUUGACACCUAUUAGGUAUAAGGUAAAGACUCUCUUCCCUAAGCUCUGAUAUAAGUGAUUGAACCUCUGAUAUAAGUGAUUGAACCCUGAACCUUUAUAAGAAAAGAAAGUGGCAAUACGGCGAAAGCAGCCGCCGCUUCUUUCUUCACAGACUGCGUAGUGAUAAGAAAAUGCUCAUGCCGUUGACUCAGAUACAAGACGGAAAGUGGUUGAUGACGACUUUGAGUAGGAGGACUAAUUCAUCACAACAGGUUGAAUCCCUUGACUGGUGUUUUAUUAGGUCUUCUUAUCCAGCAGAACACUUGCAUCUUGCUUUAGAGGCCCGAAUGCUUUUCAUUCUUCCAUCUUUAUAUCGAGGGAUGAGGAACCGGAUUCUCCUGCUUGCUUUCCGGAAACCCAUUUGAGCUCCUGGUGUAGGUGGCGUGUUUCAAUUAGCACUAAAACAUUGGGGGAGACUUUUCUCCUCAUCGCUAGCCUGUUUCCAAGAGGGAGAAGAUAAGGUAUUCUGGCAAUAUACGGCAUACUAGUCAUCGAUUCUUUGGACAUGAGCGAUCCAACACAACCUAGGAACAGUUGUACGCCUACAACUCCCACCUACCAGACCAAGGGAAGAAGUGCUCUCUCCAUAUUGCCUUUAUUUACUAUACUGUUAAAAAAGUGUGGGCAAAAGAAAGGGAUAUAAGCAGCUGUGGAAUCCAGCGGCAGGAUAGAGACCAAAGCGGGAUUCAAUGACUUUUGAAAGUGAAAGGAUGAAAUCCAGAAAUAGAAUAGGAGAGGGAGUUGUCGUCCAGCCCUAGUCUUUCGCCUUAUAAGUUAUUCUACGCGCGAUCCAGUGCCGUUGAAGACGAGAUUUCUUUUGACGUUACGAUAUGUCUCUGGGUUGCCCUAAAUAGAGGGAGGAUUGAUUCCUCUGGGAUUUAUUCCUCUUAAGCUAGAACCCUAUCCAAUUGCUUUUCCUAUUCCUGAGUUGUAGCUUUCUAACGAUAAGUAUCCGAUGGCUAAGCCGUGGAAGGAAUACUCUGGCUAAGGCAUUGGAGUGCCCCUAUAAGAGUCGUCCUUCUUAUAAGCCAUUUCCCGUUAAGGGUCAUAACCUUCUAGCAUUGGAUAUUAUCUUACGGGUCAUAACCUUCUAGCAUGGGAUAUUCUAACAAGUCAGAAGUUCAAUAGCACCAAGAGCCUAAAGAAAGGAAAGGGUCUCCUUAGUUGCUUGCCAGUUGAAGCAAUGCUUUGUCUUUGUUGUUACCUUUCAUUCCAUUCUAUAUGUGGAACACUCUAUUCCUUCUUUUCCUUCUUGAGCGAGAGGUUAGUUAGCUUUGUUUUGUUACUAAUUGAUAGAAUUAGAAUGUGCUUGCUUGAAGAUGAAACUCAUACUAGGAAUGGAACUCGACUGAAGGAAUAUGCUUAGCGCUGAAGAAGGCUAUAAUCCAAAUAAGGGAAAUAAGGCUUUCACGACCCGAGGCACUUAGGCGAACUCAAGGCGAUAGCUAAUAGAAUUGAUUCAUAAGAGAACCUAACAGUGCUUGUUUGCUUGUUGAAUAUCGGAGAGAACCUAACAGUGCUUGUUUGCUUGUUGAACUACCUGCAGCUUUAUCUGAUCCUACUCCCACUCAGGAUGCCACAGAGCCUUGACCUGGACCUGAUGAUUCUGAUGAUACUGUUUCUUUCUACUUGCUCUCAGCAUUCGAUUCGAGAGGAGAUUCGGCUUCUCAAUAGGAUUCAAGUGGAACAGUCUAUUCUUAUGCUUCCUUUCGAACGGCUUCUGAUCUUUAUUCGACUCCUGCUUCGUAAGCUUCUGAUUUUCAAACUUCAACCCGGAAACAGCAUUCUUAGAUUCAGAAAUUAUUUCAUCCGAAAGUAACUGCACUCGCCUAAGCCAAGGCCAAGCUAUUUUCAAAAAGGCCUCGUAUAUAUAAGGGAAAAAGUGCAGAAGGAUUAGGAGCUAACCAUAGUGAUAUGAAUGUCCGAUCGACUUAUAUAUUGAAAUAGAAAACUUGGGUGCUCCCUUUGCCUGCUGACCCGAAAUUCACCAAUACGGAUAUUUUCUAUACACUAUAGGGCUCGGUUUAGACUAGGCUGUGUUGCUUGAUGAAAGAAGCGGAUCCGGGUGGUUCAGCUGUACUCCUUGUACCUGUCUCUUCCUUAUUCGGAUGAAGGUGAGUGUCAAAGUCUAGCUAAGGAGUAGGUCGUCCUAUCAGAUGGAGCGGAUAAUUACCCCAUUAUCUUUUUCUUACUAGUUGGGGUCAGGAAGUCUCUCUCAUGCCGUGCUCUGGCUCCUGAUGCGGUAGUGGACCUGCUCUGCUUUGUCCUUCAAUCCAAAUGAAGGGCUGUAGUUUCUGGUUUUCAUCAAUGACUUUAGGAGGUUAUCUGUACGCUCAAUGGCUGCUAAGGGCUCUCAGUAUUCUUCAUAGUUUUUCAAAGUCAGUGGGUUGUUCGAAAGGGAUAUACAAGCGGAAUGAGUUCAGAAUCCAGCUACGUCAGGUUCGGAAUGGAAGUCUAUCUAAUAGAAAUAGGCUAGCUCGCUCGACCAUAAAGAGCAAGCCAGGCGUGUAACAAGACUCUACUUUUGACAAGAGUCCUCAGCCUCAAUCUAUAUGGUGAAAAGGUCUUCUAGGUGAGUCAAGCGUUACCACCUGCACUCCAUCUAUUGGCUUGUUACCUAAGAAAUCGAACCUCCUUAUGGAGGCUCACCUAUGCCGGGGUUGAUAAGAUCGGCCAGCGAAAUCCAAUAUCCGAAUGUUUACCAUUUCUUUUUUGAAAAAGGAUCUCCUUCUGGGGUUCAUUGAGUUCAGCUAACCAAAAUGUUGAUUCUUUGGGUUUGGGCGGUAUCUACUUGGUUGAUCCGGAUUCUCUUCCAUCCAUUUAUUACCUUUGAGGCUGCGUCUGGAACUAUAUAAUAUAGGUAGCAUCAAUGAAAGAUUUGGUCCUCGUUUAACCAAGGCGAUGGACUGAAAAGCGCCUUUCUUGGGUUAAGUGCUUUCCAAACAGUUGUUAAAGUAGGAGAUCGCAGCUUCGGCCGAUCAACUCUAACCUUUAUCUCAUCGGCGGGUGGAUCAAGUAAUUUAAAGACGUUUCUUUCUCAAUCCAACGACAACGAUGAUUACCUAUACAUGAUCUCUGGUUUUUCCUUCCCUUUCUCUUAGUAAGUUGAACAAAAGAAUGAGAUGAAGUUGAUUCCUAAUUCAGAAAUUCUCAGUUGAUUAGCAAUCAAUGCUAACUAAAGAAAAGGGGCAAGAACACCUUGAAGCUUCCAGCUGCGUUGUUGACAUGAACGGUGCACGAACGAUGCUCUGAGUUAGCCUAAGCCUUGGGUUAGCCCAUUUGAACGGAUUCUAGCCCCACCACUCUUUAAUAAAGCUGCUAAUGUAGCUUCUUGCUUCUUUGAAACGUAUGGGGCAGCCGCUCAAGCCAUUGUUCUGGUUGCGAAGCUAUGAUCUGCUUUCAGUUGGUCUCGCCAGUGUAUUCAGAAUCUUGUAUAUAGAAAAGGGAAGUGACUAAGUAUGGUUCAGUUCACGAAGGAACAAUAAUAAGCUUAUAUAGGGCGCCCGACCAAUGUAAAACAACUCCAAUAUGUGGCUCAGUCUUGACUACACUGCUCUAAUAGCCAGACUCCAAAGUCGGGGCGAACGCUCAUGCUUUCUUGCUGCUCCCCUUAUUAUAUAAGCGUGGUAUAUCGACGUAGAGCUUUUUCCAUUUCAUAGGAAUGAAUGGUUUGCUAUACCCCCUAAGAUGGGAUCGUCAUAGAUUGCGUACCAAUCCCCACAUCGUUUGAGCUUUUGGAUGAUGAUGUCCGGCGGAGUCGUCUCCAUGAGUUUGAGUUGCUCGGCUGGGGUGCUCGUCCUUACCUUAGUAUCGCUCUUUGGACUAGCAUCAGCGGCUAUAUCACGGAUUGAAUCCAAUCAAAACUCCCCCCACACAAAAGGGUCCUGCUUGAUAAGGUACCUACAAAUGGACGCCCAGUUUCUAUGAAAUUGAACAUCCAGCGUGCUCCCAUUCAUUGAAUACCCGCCUUAUUCUCUUCGUUGCUGUGUUUUUUGAGCCGUAUGCCCGUGUAAAGGUUUUCGCCGAUUUCGGAAUGGCUUUCCUUCGCAACAAGAAUGGCGCGGCAGUCGAACAGUUCCUUAAGCCGGUCCCCACUCUGGAUUUUCGGUUGGUCUGCCCUCUGCGUGACUUAGUGUUAGAAGUAUAUACUAUCGGGGAGAGUAGACACUUUCUUUUUAGUCAUGGCGAUCGUGUGGCAUCUAGUCAACUUCACGGCAGGAUUGGAUUUGGGAACGCUUAAUAAUAGAUCUCUCUUCACUUUUGAUCAAUAUGAGGUGAUCGUAAGACAGUAUAUAAUACUCGUGAUUCUGGCAAUCCAAUCUGUAGUGUGUAAAGCUUAAGCCCCCUAAAAGAGUUUCCAAAAUGGCAUCAUCAACACCUGGAUCACAAUCCCCAUUGUCAUUGGACCGGUCCGCUGUGGUACUAAACCAUCUCGAUCACGGGUUUCAUUCAGAAAGUGUUUAUGUUACGGCACAUGCAUAGAUGGAAUGAAAAUGAGGCUUUUUCCCACACCCCGGAGGGCCCAACAAAGUGAAGUCGAAGUUCCAGGAACGGUAGCUCACUGAACGAAAUCUAUUGCAUUUAGUAGGGAAGUAGUUUGACCGCCCCUUAGUUGUAAGAAUCAAUGGAUUCAACAAGGAAAGACAAGGGAAAAGCAAUGCUUUUUCUUAUCGACCGAACUAGACUUUAGAGUUUGCCAAUCCAUCAGAACUUUGGUAGGCCAAGGUGUAAACGAACAUAGAUAAGCUAAACUAAUGAAAAAGGCAGUUUCUUUUUGCCUCCAACGCAAAGCAAGAGAGGCUCGCAUGGUGGUUUGGAAUCAAUUAUUUCUCAAUGGACCACCCUUUCUUUGAACCUUGUAAAUGAUCGAACGUAAAAGAUAUGAACUGACUCUUAACUCACAAUAAUAAGCCUAGGCCUACCCGCUUUCCUUUCGGUCAGCUGCCACUCAACCGCUUUAGGGACUUCUGGCCAUUACUAUCAAAAACACUUUCUUUUCACCUUAGUAGUCCUAUACACCUUUACAGACUCCAUAUUUGUAGUACCUAACGCGACAAUACAAAACCAGACGAGAGAUCUCUCUCCACCUCAUUAGAGAAGUUGAUACUUAGUCCUUUUUUGUUCAGGCUAUUCUCACCUUUUGGGGCAUAGGUAACAGCUUUCUGUGUUUCCAUUGCCCUCAGCCUGUAGGGUCGGGCGCCCAGAAAAGAGGUCGGGCCCGGAUAAGACCUACCUUAUUCAAAGAAGACGGGAGGUGUCGGCUAGGCUAUUCUAACCGAGCAUUAACCAUAAGUGGGCCUGGUAAUACUUAACGCUUUAGUCCACAAAGAAUUAAUGGAUUUUCAUGCGAAGAUAGGAAGAUUUAUAGUCUCUCUAAGGGAUUAGAUGAUUAAUAUGUGAAGCUUUUUCAUUUCCUAACUCGACUACCCUUAACAUAAAGAAAGCCCAUAUAAUAGAAAGUUGCACCCAAUCUAGACUCCACUCGAACUUAGAAAUACUCAUAUAAAGUAGACCUUGCCUCAAAGCCUUUACUUUAUGUUAUGUUUCUACUUUUGAUUGAGACUCAACCGACGCAGAACCAUUAACUCUCUCUCUAUGACACUACUUUGUUUGAGCGUAAGCGGCACCCCAAGAUAUUCCAGAUGAUUUACUUAGCGUAAGGUACCGAUCAUCCAUAUUUGUUUCAUCCUCCCCCUUCCUUGACUUUGUCGUUCACUAAUUAAUACAGAUCUCUGGAACAAUACACUCAACCGAUGGAGCACUCAACUUCUUGCCUUUACUUUGAUUAAGGAUUCAGGGCAGAAUAUAGUACUGGCCCCAACAACAUAAUGUACGCUAAGUAGUCAAAGUCGUCCAAGUUAAGACUGUAGUUAGCCCAUGAAGACAGAAGGUUUCUUUACUCAUUCUAAGACAACACUAGCACCCAAUUGAGACGACCCCUACCCUACUGCUCUAGCAAGGGUAACAAGUAAUCAGGUAUAUCAACGACACAAACAAGGGCACAAGAAUAAGCAACGUGGGGAGAUAACAAUCUUCAAGCGACAGAACAAGGCCUCAAUCUCCUCUAUCUAUAAGCAAUGGGCCUAUCCUAUAUUCUUUGACUUUCUAGGGAUGCGGAUAUUCUUCUCUAUUCUUUAUUGUUUUGAAGCAAAGCAGUGUCCCCUACGAUCGAUAGAAGCUCACUACACUCCAAAGCUACCCGGAGACAAAGAAUCAAUUCUAUCUCUGAAGCCUUAUUCUGCUUCUCAUUCUGUGCUAAGAUCAAUUCGAGUUUUCCUCUUAGCAAGAACAAGUAAUAGAGUUCCAGAAGACAUUGUGCUAACGAGGUCUGGAGACGAGAAAGAAAGGGCCAAGCAACGUAGCUCUGUGAAAGCAACAAACUAAGGCUUAUGUACUUCAUCAGUAGAGUAUCUUGAAGCAAGGGCGAGAAUGGAGUACUUUUGCAUAGGGUUCCUCUGCCGAUACGAGUUCUUAAAGCUAUGCUUUGGGGUUGGUUACCAAUUUCUAUAUAAUGUGUCAGUUUUCUGAUUUUCUUUGAAUUGUCAGUUCCAUAAUUGUCAGCAGCAAGCUUAGAAGCGGGAGUAGUUGAAGAAGCCUCAUCUCAGUGAAAGUGCUUUUCGACAGAAUGGAAUUUCUGGAAUCUGGAUAGUUACGUUAGUAUAGAAGUAGUUAGUAAGAGGAGCUUAGCUUUCAAGGUAUAGUUCGGUUUCAAGUGUUGUUCUCGUAGAUAGAGAAUCAGAGGCUCAAGUCAGGUCAUCCGCAAGCAACGAAGCGGGACAAUACGUUUACCAAGCAACGAAGCGGGACAAUACGUUUACUGGGUUUGUUUCUGUAUUACUAAGUAGUUCAAGUUUGAAAGAAGGGCUUUGAAACGCUAAGUCCUGAAGCAUAAGAAGGAUUAGAUGCUGUUUUAGGUAACAACAUUCUAUCAGUGGUCCUAGAGAGAUUAGCUCCUGACGCACAACUACUACUUGCUGCUGCCGCUUGAACAAAGGAAUUGAGGAAGGACGAAGAUACUCCAAAGCUUAGUCGAAUAAGUCAAACUUGAGACUUUCACUCUUACGUGUAAGUGAAGUUACAGUAUAGUACCCGGUAAUUAGAGAAUAAGAGUGCAAAGAGGUUAAUGAAGUCAGCGAGAAUGGAUGGGAAAGAAAGUAAGCAAACUUUAGGGCUAGUAGCUCUGCAUCGGUGGUCUAAAGGAAGGGUUGGUUUCGCGGUGUACUGAUGAGGGAAGGCUUUUGAAGCAGUAAGUGAAUCAGGCGAUAAGUCAAUAAGGUUGCGGUGAAGCAUCUAAGGUGUUCUCCUCUUUGGAACAUAUAGAAUAAAGUCACAAGAAACUCACGUUAACACAACUCAUAGAACUCCUAAUGAUAGUCAACUAGCGUUAGCCGAAUAAGGACUUGUUGGGCCUGUGCGAAGUCAACCCUAAAACUCAUAGUAAGGAAGCUGACGCGCAACGCCUUCUGGUCCUCUCAAACACGCUCGCUAGUACUUUAUCAAGAUUAUUCCCCUCAACGAAAACUUUCAUCAUUAAGCUAGGAACCCCGAAACUAUAACUCGCAGAGACACCUGAUCAGAGCACGCACCUUUAGCUAAGUUGAACAUAGGGUUAAUGCAUCUUAUGGCUAAUCAGAAGGAAUGGAAUGGAGUGUGCACCUCGUAUGUCAUUUAGUAGCAUAACUCCUUAAUCACAACACUUUCACUAUAGGUCCGGUCCGGGUCCGCUCACCGACACUCCUUACGCACAACGGAACUCUACUUCAGGACAGAAGCGAAGACAGAAGCGAAGGAUGAGGCAAUCUCAUCUGCACUUUCUCCGUUAGCGCCCGAAUUCCCUUUCACAUUUGUUCUUGCUUAGAGUCAAACAAAGAAGGAUUCUCUAACUCCUUUAGCGCAGAUCGAUUUCACUGGCACUGAUGCGCAACUCAAAGAUGCAUUUCCAUUUGAUUACUGGUGUUCUAUGUUCUAUAAAGGGGGAAUAGCGAUUUUGCAAACAGGAAUUGAGCAGCCUUUCCUUACGCGCUGAAGAAGAUAGGACAAUAAGUUUUGUUACCAACAAGAACAAGAGCAGAGGUCGACUUAACGGAACAAGUAACAGAAUAAGAAAAAGGAGACUGUGUUGAGCAAAACUCAUGUAAUCAAGUAACCUGACUCUAGUAACUCACGUAAGUGCUUAGGAAUCAAAAAGAAGAAAAUGUUGUGCAAACAAAACUCAUGUAAUCAAGUAACCUGGUAAUCAAGUAACCUGACUCUAGUAACUCACUGUUGACUAAAAUAUGGAAUAUCGGCACGGCACCCUGAGCAGCUCGUUUGCUUGUUCUUGUGCCCUUGUAAAACUCCUUACGCACAACCUCUGGCGGCGCCCUUGCCUUUAAGAUUCAUUGAUGCUCAUUUAGCACACAUCUAUGUUAGAUAGAAUUCCAGUAAAAACGGAGCAUUGUAACAGAGCAUUGCUUUAAUAAGCCUAAGCCAUUACUGCAUUAAGCUAUCGGCAGUUAGCAAGUUCUUUGCGUUAGCACGGUGUAUUUAAGUGGAGUCUGUCUCGUGUACUUCAGUGGAAUCUUUCUCUUACCCGGAUUACCCAAUCCUAUAUGAUCUCGGUGUAGCGCCCCGAAAGUCAAGAAGAGAAUUUCUCGAGGCCUAAGAGAAUGUGAGUUCGCCGCACCUUAUUAGACCAAGCACAGAGAGAGGCAUAGGCAUAGGUUAAACGAUGAGAAAUCCUAAGUUCAAAAGCCUUAUAUGCCCUGUGCAACAUCUUUUCCCGCUUCUGCUUCAUAGAGAGAAGUGAUUGACUUGACGUCGGUAGAAAGAUGAAGUGAAGUUACGCCCGAAAGAUCUGUAGCUGGUAAAGAGGCGAAAGCAGUAUCAUCAGCUGUAGAAAGUCAAUCAAUCAGUAUAGUAUGUAUCUUGGGGUGCGAGAUAAUCCGCAGUAGAAGGGACAAGAUAGAGAAUUUGCCAUUCGAGUAAUUGACCGCGACUCCAAAUAAGGGUUUCUGCUACUUUAUAGUUGUGUACUUCAGUAUGAGGGAAGGGCUUUCAAGCGCUCUAAGUAAAUCAGUUUCGUAGAGUUCCGCUCUUCCAUAUGAAGCUAGGUGUGGAUUCCAUUCUGUCUUUCGAGUUUAGUAGUGCCUUGGCCCGUGCCUUGGCCCGUUCCUUGGCUUAGUUUCUUAUUCAAGCUGUGCUCUAGGUCUUGUCUAGUCGUUGCUUGGCCCUUCUCUUCUUUAGUUCGGGGCAUCAUCUAGUACUGGCCGGCCGGGGAAAGUAUUAAUCCAAUACAGCAGGCCCUACAACAUAAUGCGCGAGGUGCUGGAUAUAGAGAAAGGUAUGAUUCCAAACCACUUUUCUGGAUAUAGAGAAAGGUAUGAUUCCAAACCACUUAUAUACUUUAGCUCUCCAUCAGGGUUUCGGUGUACUUCAGUAGGUAAAGAUACUUGAGUUGGCGUAGGAACAAGAACUCUAUCAUAUGCCGAAGCGGAAACUAGAGAAGAUGUGUGCGGGGUAAGAGAGUGGGCGCAGGGUAUUUACACCUUUCUAUGCCCUGUGCUCUAAAUGAAUAAUGCCAUUCUUUCAUUUUGUUGUAUGUAAGUGCCUAUUCGGAUUACUUUAGAGUUUCGAUCAGAAGCAGUUGCGCUUACAGAAGGAGUGAAAAGCUAACGUUUAUUUAGUCUUGCAUAGAAUAUAUAUAUGGUAAAGAAGCUAGAUCAGAAGCAAGAAGGAAUGUAGACCUUUAGUUCGGGUCGGGUGUGAGUUAAUAUUUCUCUGUGGAAUCGAAGUUUCAGUUUGAAGCGUGAAAAGUAUUGCCUGUCCCAAUAAGAACAAGUGAAGGGACAAGCAGAUGUUGUACGUCAGUGGCGAAAGGAAAAGUGGUGGAAUUCCUUGUUUACUCGCCAAAAGAUUCCAUUAAUGAUGAAGACAAGCCAGUCUAUACAAGACUAAGUGGGGAGAGGUUCGGUAAGAGAGGUUAGAGUGCUUGUGUCUAAGGUCGGUGCUUGUGCGAGAAGUGAUUGUUUUGACCUUUAUUGUCUUAGAAAGAGAGAAUCCGGAGUAGAAAGAGAAGAAGAUAGUACUUAUUAAGCAAGGUGUGGUCCAAGUCGAGUGAGGGCAAUCCGAAGCUUCUGCACUUAAGUCAGCUGCUAUAUGGUAUGGAUUCCAAUAAGAGUGUAAUAGAUAUAUUAAGAAAUUCAAUGAAAAACGUAAAGUCGACCAGAGAAUUAAUCAGUAGAUGCAUCAGGCCUAGUAUCAAGAUCAAGUCCAAUCGGUUCCUCAAGUCAAGUAAGAGUGGAAUCGACAAGAUAAUCAUAAGUAAGAGCAUUGGCAACAGUAUCUGAAGCUACAUAAGAAGGAAAGUAGACAACAGAAUCCGCAGGAGAAGGAGUGAGAGCUGGUAAAGAAUAAGAAUAAGAUGAGGCAGAAGGGAAAGUGGACUUUCAUUGUUUGUUUGAUCGUGAAGAUCAUCUAUCUCUUUGCGAGUGGAGUUUCAUCGUAUAAAGAAGAAGUGCCCAGAUGAGGCAGAAGAGGGAAAGUAGACAUCGACUCUAGAAUCAAUAGGAGAGGGAUCUCUCAGUGGGAAGGCUUUCAGCACCCGAACACAGGACUUUAGCCAACACCCGAACCACCCCUGUACUCUUUCUUUACCACCUCUCCUCUGGCUACUGGGUUCAAUUAGAACUGAUUCCACUCGGUCGGUACUAGGUAUUCUAGAACGGAUUCUACUCUAACAAGAACCGGGGCAAGCAAGAACAAGAGCUGGAGCUGCACUACAUGAAUUCUAUCUUAUAAUAUAAUAGAACUGAUUCCACAGCUAAUCUCUAUCCUGAAGCAGGGACAGAAUAACUACUUGCCUGCUGACUCACUUUCGGCUUAACCUUGAAUUGCACUUUAGCCAACAUCCGAACUAGACUUGAAGACGAAAACAGGCCAUUCUCUAAGACACCUUGGGCUAAGGGAAACUCAUAAAUACCAAUGUUUGGGGGGGUUCCUCAAUUCUAUAACUUAUUGCACUAACCUUCUCUUCUUUAGUUACUACAGGGGGACAAUCAGUUGAGUUUCUUUCGUAGGGGAGAAUGAGUAACUACCCGCGCUCUAUCCUCUUCCUCUCUUUAAAGAAAGUCUGAAUGAAACUAAUACUAAGGAAUGAAUGGGAUCCCACUUACCACUUAUAGGAAUGAAACCCAUAAAUAAGUAUAUAGCGCAUCCCUAGGAAUAAGAAUCCACCUAGAAAUUGAGGAAUUAAAGAAUAGGGAGAUACCCAUAGCAAUAAAGAAUUCCAUUCGAAAGUAGAGUAUACGCUUGUCGACUUGGCGUACUCUCUUAUUGCCCUUUCUUUCUUCUCUGAACCCUGAAACAAUACCACCAGCUCUAGCGGGACAACAACUUUCUACUUUACCUCGAGCAGAAAUAUACUCAAGGACAGAUGCGUUUGCGCCAACACCCAGAUAUCGAACUAAGGAUUCUCUGGAAACUGAUGAAGAUCUUGAAACUGCUUGAAAUCCGACCUCUGCUUUUGUGAUCCUGCUUUCUAUCUGUCUUCGGUUGAUUUCGAGUCUACUAGCCUAUCUAUGUUAAACUCUACUUCUGUAAGGGUAAAGAACAGGAACUCAUAUAAGCCUUAAUCCUAUAGUGGUCCUACUUGGCCAUUGCUCUUUUUGGGUCUAAUCCUAUACUCAUUGCGUAAAAUGGCUUGCACCCUUCCUUGUCUGCUCGUCUCUUACUUUCGGGAUUCUAUUUCCAUUCUUUCAUUCCGACUUAUGAGCUUGCUCACUACUUAGUUGCAUUCUGUAACCACACCUAGGUAAAUCCUCUGUCAUAUGAGUUGAAGUCAUUGAGUUAGUGUUUCAGGCUUGCACUGCUGGAGGUAAUUCCGAGCCUACCCAGUAUCAGUCUUCCCUGUGUCACUAGUGCAUUCUCAGUGGACCUACUUAAAUGAAAGCCUGUCAAUCCCUGUAGCUUCGGUGGACUAGUUAAAGCCUGUUACUACAGAGUUGCAUUCUGAGUUUCCUAUAUAUAGAGAAGAAUUCAUUUGAUAGGGAAUGUUAGUAGUUCAUUAGUAGGAAAGCCCUUAUUGGAAAAGAGAUCUUGUUUUCUGGUUGAUUUUGGAUUUGAUUGUUUCUGUUAUUUGAUUGUUUUUGAUUCCAAAUUGAUUUAUCCCAUGCGAUUGGAUUGGAUUCUGAAGUCUACUCUCUUCUUUAUAAAGAAACUAAUAGCUUCCCUUUCCACUCUAACUCUUUCCUACCUCGACUCUGUCAACUAAGUCAGUAAACUACCCGAGCAUCAAAGCUAGCACUCAAAGAUAAGAAUGGAAAUGCAAGGCAGAAACUAACUAUCCACUUUUCACUCACAAACAACCAAUAAGGGCCCGACCGACCUCUUAUAAGUGUUAACCCCGAACCGAACUCUUACCUAAGUAAACUAUCCCUCUGAUCUUGCUCAUGAAACUCACCACUCGAACAGGACUCCCGGAGACGAACACAGCACUUUGUCAACUAAUUCCAUUCUGACUUGCUUGUCAACUUCAGACUAUACUAGGGAUUCCGGAUACUCUACUAAAGAAUUAGCUGUGCCAGGAAAGUAGACCAGACCACCACUAAGAAGAAUUCCACUCUAACAACAACAGGAGCAGGAUCAGACUAAGGAUUUGAACCAGGAGCAGGGUAUGCCUAUGUUCUUAGGCUUCAAAGGAGCGUUAUUGACUAGCUCGCUACCGCGCAACAUGAGCAGUUGCUUGGUUCUUUUGUUUGAUGGGAAAUUCUUCAUUGAAACUAAGAAAUAGUCCUUAGAGUGCAUUUCUUCCCUAUAGAUUUACCCUCUUGCUCUGCUCUUUAGUAUCCAUCCCUGCAUCCCUACUUCCGUAACUAAGGGACCGGUCUUCAACUAUCACUCGCCAAGCAACUAAGGAAGGUAGAAAACAAAAGAAGAAACCCAGCUUCAAAGCCUCUCCUCAGGACUAGCUUCCUCUCCCCUAUCGCUAACUACUGGCUCUGCUCUGUCAACAACUACAGACCCGAACUGAACUUAUUCUCUUGCCGACCUCGCCUCAAGCUUACCUCGAACAGGACUACAACGAUCCUAUCCCCGGUUGCAUUCUAAUAUUGACUACUGAGCAGCUUUCUCAUCUACUUCUCCUCUGGCUAAUUCCUCUGUUUCAGGGCAGAAUCAACUACUUAUUAAUAGACUUCCCGCUACUCCUACUUAUACGACUAGUUUGGGAUUCCACCAGAACUCUCACAGGAACAGAACUACUCGACUCUCACCUAGACUCAAAGCAAGCAAGAUUCUUCUUAAACACCCGCACUCUUUUCUUUAUAAAUCAAUUAAUAGCUUCCCGACCUCUACUCUGGACUAGAGCAUCUCUUCUACCUAUGGAAACUGUAAACUAGGAACUUAAUGAGGUAUAUCUCUCUUCUAGGGAUAGAAUUCCAGGUAGUUAUGACCUAUAUUGACUAUUUCUUCCCUUGCAGACCUCGACUCAGGCUCAUCUAAUCUCUUUCCACUCCGGCUUCCCUCUCUACAACUACAGGCUCUCCUCUUUCAACUAAUGCCAAACAGGUCACCAACAAGCACCGGCUACUAAUAGAUGGAUGAAACUCGGUUAAGCCUUAUUGUAAACCUUGCAAAACCCUGUAGUGCUUCUUCAACAACUACCCGCGCCUAGUAACUGACUUGAAACUCCAUCCACUUGAUACUUAACCUCGAACUGGGGCAAAGGGCUUCUCUCUUUCUACAAAUACAGAUUCCACAGCUGACCUUGCAGACCUCCUAAACUGCUUCCCUUCUCUCCUUCUUACUGAACUGAAGUAAAGUAUCUUUCUGGAACUCACCAAAACACGGUAUUUUUCAUAGCAAUCGGAUUUCCCCAGCUAGACCGAUCCAAUCCAAUUAGAUUUGUGCGUUUUCCCGGGAUUUUAGAUAGCGACCCAGUUUUCCUUCCUAAACCCAGAAAGUGAGAUUCUAUUUUCACGUUUUACCGUGUUUUUUGGUUGCAACCAAUAAGAGCUCCUGCCGCGGAACGUUAGUAGUUCCUUAGCCCUUCCUGGAAGGUCUGAUUGAGAUUACAAUUUCACGUUUUCCCGUCUUUUUUCGUUGCAAAUAGAGAAAUAGUAUGGGAUGGUACUUCACUUAGACUUCAACUCAGUAUUCCACUGGCAGAACUUCUGCUGUUGGGCCUGGUGUUGGUUCUUUCAAUCGAGUGUUAACGCCUACCUCGACUCAAUGCUAAGUGAAUUAGUUCUUGCCCACCGAUUACCUGCAUCUAGUUUACUGGGAUACCACCGAUUCCCAGCUACUGGAGUAGUGGAUAAGAAUUCAACCUAAGUGUUUGAGAAGUAAGAAUACAACCACUAACAACUAGAAUCAAACCGCUAGGGCAAAGCCUGAAACAAGGUAUUUACAGAACCAAACCAGUAACAACUAGGCUAUAACACCUAACAACAAGACUGAGCCAGUGCACAAUCGGCCUGAAAGCAAGGGUAGCUAGACCUCAACACCUAAAACAAGCCUGAGAGGGCGGAGUGAGAGAAUGAGAGCAGUACCGAUCAGAAUUGACCUAAGGAACCGGGUGUUGAAGAAGUCGGGUCGGUAUGAACCUAAUGCUACUAGUAGUUGCUUGGCCCACUUCACCUUGCUUCAAAGCCUGUAUGCCAGCUUUGCCUGUAUGCCCGGUAUGCCAGCUUGGUCCCUACUAUAUUAUAUCUGGUAUGCCCGCUUUGGCCCUACUAUAUGCUUUAUUGAUCUUUCUAUAGGAUUCUAGAUAACAGAUGAAACUCAUUCCAGAUUGGAAACACAGAGUCAAGGAGAACUGAAGGAGACGUAACUAACACACAUAUCAAAAGGUUUUUUAAUCCGCGGAAGCCAAAGCAGUGUUCCCUUAAAGGAAGCAGUUAUUGUAGAUGGACCGCCCCCUAAAACAUAAUGGGGGGUAAGCUUACUCCUGAUUCUCAACUUGUUGAACAAACUAAUAUUAGCAUCUACAAACUCUAUGACUCGUUUAGGUUAAAAGCAAAGGGAAGGUAUCGAGUCAACCGUACUCCAGUGCAGGAGCAAGCCAAUCACCGACCCGCUUAGACAAUACAAGCCGCAGAAAUGACACUCGAAUGGCCCGGCCCAUAACAGAGACACCAGAAUAUACUCUUUCUUUUGCUAAGGUUGAAGCCAUAUUCAAGGUUGCUCGUAGGGAAAAGUGGAUCUCGCCCUGUAGUUAACUUACGAGUCCAAGUUUCACAACCAACGGCAUAGCCCAGUAACUACUAUACAAGUAGAUAAGUGACUUUCGAAGAGAGGGAAGUGUAAUAAAGAAAGUUCGGGUAAAGAAGUAUAGUCCAGGAGUGGGCAGUAGAGAAAAGAUACUAAACAUUCCAUGAUUCAGUAUACGCUUGGCCUCGGGGUUUGGUAAAACGAGUCCCGUCAACUUGUAUAUAAGUGCCAUGGUGUAGCAGUGAAGUUAAGGUCAUCAUGUCAGGUUAGGCUCGCUGACGCGUAACAUUAGUUUGCUAAGUUAAGUGAGUCAGUUCUUUUUUGAGUGUGCUAAAGCCUAAUGUGUAAUUGGUUUAUGGGGUAUAUGGGAUAAGAAUAAUGAAUCCAUGAUGAAAGCUAGAGCGCAAAGGUGAAGUUAACAAAAGGAAUAGCUGCUCUCUCUGCAAAUAAGGAAUUGAUUGAAUCUCUCUCUUAUCGAGCACCUAGGAAAACAGUCAAAACAUUAAUGGAUUAUCGAUCACCUGACCUGGUCCAGGCAUAGAUCUGAGUAAAUACACUUCUUGCUUCCCUUGAUUAUUCUUCUUCCUUCCCGUCCUUCCUCCUUUAUUGAAUGGAAAUUGAAACUCCCUUACAGUUAGUUAGGGCAAUCUUAAUGAAUUUGUUGAACGUAGAAGAACCGUUCAAACUUAGGAUCCUGAUCUUAACCCAGCUUUUUGUGAGAAAACAAGGAAUUUCAUUGAAUUAGUUGACUACGGAGAGGUGUGGAAGGAUACUCUACGCAAAAGUGAACUAUACUCUUUGAGGGUGAGCGAGUGAAGUCUCUUUUGGUGCUUAUUCAAGUCCUGUCCAGUUUGCGAGAGAAGUUCGGUACGCCUUAGUUGCAGACUUAGAUUACUUGUAGGGCGAAGUAGUGUCCUGUUACUCUAAUUCUAUAUGUUGCUCUUUCUCCUGCCUCCAUCUUAUGCUUAUUAUCCUUAUUCACUUAUACUUAUGCUCCUUAUUCAUAUCUUGAUUCCCUUGCUUCCUCACCUAUUACAGUUGGCUCUAAAGAAUAGAAUAGAAUCUCGGCGCCAUCAUAAAAGAAUGAAGCGGAAUCAAAUGCAGGUUAACUCUUGACUCUAAGCUUAUCCGCUUGGCUGCUGUAAGUGCUCCAAAUUCCAUACUUAUAUGACUAGCUUUAGAUCUUUAGCCCGCUCCUUCUGUUCGCCUAGUGCGAGUGUAAUCCCAUCUUUCAAUCAAUUUCUACAUGUUAAGAAUCUGCUCUGUUCCUGUUUGUUCUGUAGGCCCGAUCUAUCCUCGCUUGCAGCUGAAGAAGUAAUUGAGGCAUAGUCCCCUUACAUAUAGAAUGUCGGCACCACGAGUUGGUUUAAGAAUUGAGGCGGCUGCCUCCUUUGAACAAAAAGCUUCUUAUUCCCUUCCCUGAACAAAACCCUCUGCUCAGCCAAUAAGCUCUUUCUCUUUCGCCAGCUAACUAUCUCAUGGUAAGCACCCGCUUCAUACUCAUCAGGAACCUGCAAUUCUACACUACUUACUAUUCCUCUUCUGACUAAUGUUACUACAUCAGCUGUGCGUUCGAGUGUUGGCUAAAGUCCGGGUAGUGGUAAAGUUAUGGUUCUUGUUUCAUACCGAGCUGAAGAAGUGGAAGUGAAAGGCUUACUUUAGUUGUUUCAUCCCCUUAAUUAGGAGUGGAAUCCCCAGUGACUUUAGUUGUGAGUUUUACCUAUAAGUAGUUAAGGUAUUGUUCGGGCUAUAGCCUAUAGAGAACCUGGCCUGUCCGAACUAGGGAUAGAGUUUCACUAGAGCUGCCCGAGUUUGUCUACUUAAGGGGUUAGCUUGUUGGACAAUUAGUUGAGUGACCCCUCUUUACCUUUGUAGUAGUUGGUAGUAGUGGCUGGGCAGUUGGGGAAAUCAAUAGUAUAGGCGACAUCCCGAGUUGCUUGUUUAGUAUAAGCUUGCCUGAGAGCAAAUAGGUUCAUUCCAUUCUUUAGUUGUCGGCCUCGGCCUGGCCUUCCCGUCUUUCACUCUGAAACUCCUUUUUCUCAUUCUUCAACCCUUGAACUUAAGUCUGACUUUCUCCCCUGUGAGUCUGUAACUCCUGCCUGGAAUUCCUAUGUGAAAGUGUGAGUCUUAGCCCCUGACUUCGCUGUCCAAGUAAGAUACCGGGCAUAGGCCUUUUACUCAUUAGCAUAGGAAUGGGCGUACUAACACACAGGAGCAGAAUUCCACUCAUUAGCAUAGGACUGAGGAAGCAGCAGAUAAGGAAUGCACCUUAGAAGUAAGGGCAUCGGGCUAAGAAUGGAACUUUAAAUACAGAAGUUAACUCACUCGUUAUAGUCUGCCACCCCAUGCUCGCAUUCUUGUAGUUGUACCUGGCAUUGCCGUUCUCUUGUCUAAAACUUCUACUCUUCUUUUAUAGCCUUUAAGGUUCGCACUUUCAUUCUGAUGCUUGAGUUUGGUCUGACUUUCGUGUCUCUCAGUCCUAUGCUCUUGUUUCAAACCUACACUCCUUGCUAAAAUGCCAAUGUUCCAGUUUCAGUCUGACUAUUCUUUAUCUUAUUCUUAACCCCCAGGCUCUGACUCUUCCGCUCUUGUCUCUCGGGCUUACCCUCCUUGCUUAAAGCCUUGCUUUUGAGUUGAAGUAUCCCCCUAAAAACUCGGACUCUUCCGUUCCGCUCUCUCUGUAUUACUAUUCUGUCUAUAACUCUGUCGCUCCUAACUACCAAACUGACAUUCCUUUAGAUUUGUAAUAAACCCUGUAUACUCAUUCUUGAUUAUUACCUUGGAUUAGAGUUAUUACUUUGAUUCUGAAAUUGCUUAUACUUCGAACAGAGAUCCUCUGCUCUAAGGCUUGGAACUAUAAGUAUUAGAAUGUCCGGUAGGGGCUGGCAGUUGGUUCAGAAGCUAAAACAAGGGAAUCAGGCUCUAAAGUAGGGCCAAGCAACGGGACAAACUACUAAGUAAGCCGGGCAAGUCACUAAGGGCUAAGUAACUACGAGUUACACUAGUUGCAUUCUUUGACUAAUGAGUUUGAUUCUGACUCUCACUACUUAGUUGCCCUAGAUGCUGGCCUAGUAAAAGACUUCGGACUUCCUCCUUACUCCUUACUGCUGGCUUCCUCCUUACUAGUAACUUAGGGCUUACUCAUAACUUCCUCCUGACUUCGGGCUUACUCUUUGAACUAAGGCCUCUAUACCUCUAAAACGGAUACUUGCAACCCGGCUCACUGGUAUGAUUACUUAAGAGAACAGAACAGAUAGAUACAAAUACGGAAUUCCAAUCUAACAAGAACAGGGGCGAGCUACUACUCUAACUCUGAGGGAAGGCACGACCUGAAGUGAAGAGAAGAGGGGCUUCCUGAGUGAUAUAAUCUUUCCAGUUUUACGUCGGUGUCUGAGGGCCGGACAGAGCUUUAGUUUAUUUAGCUUCCUAUUCCGAAAGUUCAGUAUGGGGUAUUGCUGCCUAUCUCAUACUUUAUAUUAAUAUUUGGACUUUUACUUUGAGAGAAUUGAUUCUGGGCUUUGUCUUUAAGAGAAUUGAUUCUGUAUAAUAGUAAGGGUCCCCAUUGCCCACUAACGGUAGCGGCGGUUACUCGAGCAACGGAUUCUAGAACACCUGAUUUGCGGCAUAUCUGUCAUUGGGUAUUUAGGCAUCCUUUUCGAAAGGUAGGAAGUAAGUGAGCAAGCAAGCAAAAAAGCAACUAGUUCAAUUCAAAAAGAUGUUGAUGUUGUGCGCCUUACUUGAAUAAAAGCAGUAAGCAGUUUUCUAAUUUAGAGUUGUUGUUUCCGAGGGAAGCAGCAAUCAAUUAGAAAUCGAAAAGUCACGUUUCAGUUUCAAGAUCUGACAACAGUAUCAUAAGCAGCGGAAUAGCCAGUUCCUGUUUCAUAGUGAAGAUCAUAUACUUCUGUUCGCGCACCUCUACUUAUUGCUGACUCCUGACUUGAAUGUUAUACCUGCUGCGGACUCUCAAGUACAGAAUAGAAAAGAGACAACAACUUUCUACUUAACCACUCCCACAGAUCCCGAUCCUUAUUCUUCCCUUGGUUGUUGACUUGCUCUCUUGAUUGAAGCUGCCUAACACACCCCAAGAAGUAAGACUGAAACGCGUAACUAAGACUUAGUUUGAUAAUUCACUCAUAUGCUCCAGGGCGGCCUAGCACUACUUUAACUUAUCACUUGGUAUUGAACUCAUCAGUAUUAGUACACCACUCCUAACUCCUGAAGUAGUCCUCAUGAGACUAAAUACGUACCGAGAGAACGAAACCGACAAGGGGCCCCAGGGAACCACUCUUAAGUAAGUAUACCGGUCAGAGCUAUAAGACUAACUUACUAGUUGGAUUCCGUACCUCUUGUUUCUUGGCCCGACACUACUUACUUAGAUUAUGUAUUCUUCUAUACACCUAGGCUCUUGCAUUCCACGCCAGUUUCAAACUUAUACUCAUACUAAUCAGAAUAGAACCCGUGUGAGCUAUACCAAUACCAGACAUUUGAUUCCAAUUCAUUAGUGGAAGAAUACCUGUCUCAUCUGACGAAACAGAACUUAGCUCAUUAGCGUAGGACCUAAACAUAUCAAAGUGAGCCUGGCACUCCGAACUCGUAUACUGAAAUUGCUGAUCUAACAUCUGGCUUCACCCGCAGUUGUUUGAGUCCUGUUACUUGUCGAGUGAAUUCAGUCCUGUCUUAGGGAGCCCUUAUUUGUGUUAUCAUAUCCAAAUCGGGACAGGUAUCCUUGCCUUCUAGUUAAUUCCUUAUUAAUGACAAGUUUCAGUCUGAUGCUUAUUCCUUUGAUUCCAUAUUUGGUCUGAUACUUUUACUACUGGCUCUAAGUCUUUUACUUACUCAUUGCAUUCUGACAGGUCAAAAGAGAGGGAGUCCGCUCCUACUCGCUCUAAAACUGCCCUCAUGCUUAGAUGGCGAGUUCCCCUUUCUUUCAUGCGUAGAUGCCGAGCUAUAGCUCUAAGACUUACUUUUAGUGUAACGCAUGGGACUAAAGCAGCUACAACUAAAGAACAAAACCUGUGCUAUUAUACUGAAAUCAUAAAGCAGGAAUCUAACUAUGACAUUAAUAAAGGAACAGCGGCUAACAAGGCUUAUCCUUCUAACUGGGACUUCUACUCAAAACUAGUGGAUUUUUCUCUCUUUUCAUUAUAAGUAAUAAGAGUCUGGCUGGAUGAAACUCAAGGGUAGUAGACUAAAGCUAAGUACUAUUAGAAUAUGGGCCUUAGUCAAUAAUUGCUAGCGCAUCUACUCUACUAGUUAUAAUACAACUAAUGCCAUUGGAACUAAACUACAAACUACAGGACUAAAUCAAACAAUAAAGAACAGGACUGGUGUCUCGGAGAACCAAACUCUGUAUUUGGAGAAUAUGAUGUGUGGUAGAUGCAUCGCAUCCCUAGUGAAUUCAACUCAACAGUAAGAGACUUCAACAAGUAUUAGUCCGAAUUGAACUAUAGUGACUCAAAGGAUGAAAACACAGCUAAAGAACUUCACUCUCCAAGCAAUGGUACAAUUCACUCUCCAAGCAAUGGGACAAGUUUCUAUUAGAGGAAUCAACACUCGAACAGGAGACUUAGCGUGGGCCCGGGUAAUCCCCUAGUAUAAGAGCAAGGGAGUGAAUAAGUAAUUCCACUAUAACAGAGGAAUGAGCCCCUCUUUCCGGUAACUAAGAAAUCAAUACAGAAGUAAUAAUGAGGAGUAGUCGUAGGCAUACAGAAGUUCACUAUCAGCUAGGAAUAAUAAGUAAUGGAAGAGGAAAGUAACGACUACAAAUGCAGGAUUGCGCUCAGCAGUCCAAGAGUGAAGCUAAGAAUACAGAUUACUGCACCGCCUAACAAACAACAAAGACUACUGGAAUGCUACUACCAAGUAUAGAUUCAACUAACUCCUCUGCUAACAAGGAAUUCAACUAGACACCAACAAGACGACAACAACCCCUACUGAAUGAAAAGAAGAAACCUAUAGACACCAACUCAGACUCGCAUUCCUGGCUACCGGCCUAUAUCUCUUUGCUUUUACCCUGACACUACUAGGAGCUAGAAUGAAAUCACUACCGCCGGCCAAGCAACGGGCCAAGCAACUACUACAGUAGCGCGGCAGGGUUUCCCCAGAGUAGUUAGAGAGAUUCAGGCCUUACAUCCACUGUGACAAAGGUCAUAGCAGGGAAAAACACUUCAUUCACAGCCAGGAAAGAAGGCUUAAGGGAAGGUUCCUGAUUCCUUGACCUAUGCUUCGGUUUACCUCUAUGCUUCGUUGACCUUGGAACUAUAUUCCUCUUUUUUGAUUGACCAGCGGGACUCCUAGGUUUUGUCAUCGCCUUGCCGGCACCUUCCUUCCCUGAGCUCACCUCCUCUACCACCUUUCUAUAUGCCCUUAGGAUAAGUCAGUCUGUCUGCGCAAUCCGCAAUCAUUAACCCGGCUCUACGUCUUCUUAAGAAAGGUGCGUCUGUAUUCACUUGCAUUCCGACCCGAACCUGAGAACUAUCCACAAGACCGCUUACGCCAAACUCGAGAAGAAGCUUUAGAAGGCGAGGUUACCAUUACUUGUUAUUCCACUAGUGAUAUUUGGGGCAAGAUCAAUAUAUAGUGAUCCGUUAUGAUUGUUCAAACUACGGUAAAUAGUGGAAAGUAGUUAGGCCUUACUUAAGUCUGGUCUCCUCUCCCAGGAGUGAGUCGAUGAAAGCCAAUAGACAGAAGCAAGGGUAUACUUUUCGCUUGACAGGAACUUACUUGCAACAACCGGCCGCGUCAGGAGCUAAAAGCGCGUCAGUAAUUAGUGAUUUUAGAGUCAUUACCGAGUCCCUAUCUGAUGGAUUUGCCAUAGGAGGAGUUUCCAGUAGGUUAAACAACUUCUUUAUUACUUGCUAUGUGUUUGUGAGCCAGAGAGGGCAGGGAAAUUGGGGUUGCAUCCAGUAAUAAUCUCAUAUCACUGACAAAGAAUACAGAAUCCACUAAGGGCUCAUCUACCGCCAACUUAGAGAAAGAAGUAUAUGAUGAAGCCUUAACCUAGCCAAUGGAGUAGUGAUCGGUAACACCUCUGAUUGUUGGUUACGUUACAGAUUGUCCCGCUAUAGCUGGUAUAGUUCCAUAAGCCGAAUCACAGUCCAAGUUCUUAUGCCCACCUAGAAGAUUAAGGGAUAUGAAGAAAGUACUGGUUCGGGUGUUGAUGCUGUAGUAGCUCCUUCCUUGUCGUGGAGUAUAGGAUCUCUCUGUUCGCCCUGUUCCACUUAUAUCGUAUGUUGAAGCGGAAUCUACUCUCCAAUCUCAUGCCCACGUGGACUAUGCGGUGUGUGAAGCAUCUAUUGCCGGUGUUAGUGUGUCUCUUGACUCUAGAUCUUAAGCAUAAGAAUGAAAGUAGACAAGCGGUUCUGCAAGUUCAUUGGAUUACGGGUCGGGUGCUAGUACUGUUGCUAACUUAUAUUACGGGUGCUUUCAGUUGGUUCCACAAGUUUUGUUCCUGUUCCGGAUCUGAUAAUAAGUAAAGGGAAGGGGGUUUCAAGUUUACCAGUCGUGAAAGUUGACUAUAUGAUUUGUUUGUAACAUUCCUUCCUACCCUACCUAGGCUUAUAUGCGCUGUACUACAAAUUCCUGAUUUUUGUUUCAAGUGUUGAGUCAGCUGUUCGCCCAGUUCGACUUUUCUCGUUGUUUAUAGAAAGAAGCCCAGAAGAAGCGGAUGCUGGAAAGUAAACUAAUCUGACUCCUUCGCCAGGAAAGUAAACCUCAUACUGCUUGCGCACAAGGACGAACUCAUCAGGUGUUAAAGCCUUAUUUGCCCUACCAUAACUUCUUCAGCGCGGUGAAGAUAUAGUGGAAUCUUUCUUUGUUGCUUUAGCCCUCGAAAGAAAAAAUCCAGUAUUUGUUGACAGUGAAAGUGAGCUGUGCGUUAGCUUAGUAUAGAAAAGGUCAUAUUACUCAAUAUAGAUAUAUACUAGAGGUUAAACAAAGGGAAAGUAAGCGUUAGCGACCCGACCCCGAGAAUCAUAAGUGUCAAGUUACUCACUUAUUGCUUUUUGAAUGAAAGUAAGCGGUGAGUGAAUAAGUUUCAUCGUCAACAGUUCGAGGAAAAUCUACAUCUACAAGAGAAGACUCAGUUUCAAGAGAUUGUUCGGCUACUGGCUUUGAGCACGAGGUUUGCCACUUCAUUCUAUAAUACGGGUAAGUGGGGAACAAGAAUGAUGUCCGUUUGAUAGCAUCUUAUCUUGUAGUUGAUCAUGAAAUUCUCAAUUCAGAGUUUGUUGGUGACUUCUUCUACUUAGUGGUGUAAUUCCCAAGUGACUAAGUAAGUAUUAUAAUAGUACUAUAGGAGUUUUCAAGUGUUCAGUAACUACUCUGGGAUACUGUGCCAGGAAAGCUAUGUACUUGUUUCUAUCAUCCCUAGCAAUUAGCCCUAGCUCAUUACCUCUUUAAACUAUCCCUCUCCUCGCGUUACCAUUCUGUUACUGACUAUUCGGAGACUCUCCUGUCUGCUUGUCUGUGAGUUUCAUUCAGUUACUUACUUCUAGCCUCUGAUCAAGUAUCUUCUCCAUUCUCUUGUUCGCACAGAGCAUCUAGUUUAUUUACCUACUUUAUCGCUACUCAUAUAAUAAUUUGUAUAGUUCCAGUGACUAGUUUAGUACUAUUUAUCUCAAUACGGGCAGAAGAAGUCAACCUGCAACUGGAGACUUUCCCCUUACUGAUUCUUUUAGAUACCCUUACUUUUCAGGUACAAGUCAGAGGUGAGUAGCACGCGGGUCUUAACUUCAAGUUUCGGUCGGCUAGAGAGAAUCAGCUUGAUCGGGAGAAUAAACAGUUUCAAUAGCGAGAUCCUAGGCAGUGGCCGUAUCAAGUCCAGUUGAUAGAAAGGCUAAACCAGGACGUGGUUCUAACUGCUCCUGUGUUAAGGUAUUCUAUUCCAUUCAGAAGUCGAAGAGCUUGUCGACUUGUCCAUUAGUAGUAGCUUGUUCCUUAUAGCCCUUGAAUACUCUCAAGAUGGUGUGAAAGCAUAAUAAGGAUAAUCAGCAGUAUCAAGUCAGUCAGUAGUAACCGCUAAGGAAGCAGCAUAAUUAGAAUGCCCACGCCACUGAAGAGGAAUUAGCCAGCUAUUGAGAUAGAAUAGAUGACAAACCUGCGCUCUAAACUAGAAAUACAGAAUUGAAACCCUAAAGUCAUAAUUGAACUAAGUAGCCAUAGGAUAUGCUUUAGUGCUUGUGUUAAGCAAGUAGUCAAUAUAGAAUAGAGGACCAGUACAAGCAGCCAACAUAAGUAAGGGUUAGUUGUUAAUUGGCCCUAUCAAAUUCGAUCUUUAUUAUUAAGGAUGGUUCGAAUGCCAUGCCCCUUCCCUUAAGAAUUGAGUGAAAGUAUUGCCAGUUGCUCGAGUUAUAGAGGUAGUUUCAUCCCGAGUUUUCAUCAUAAAUAGCAUCAGUGGUGUGGGAUGAGAAUGGUACCCCUCUUUCUAACCAUGGGACCUAUCUUGCUACACCCUCUAUUUGGUUUUUUGCACUCUAAAGUUAUAACUCUUCCCUUCAUCUAAUCCGAUCUCCUGGUUGGUAUGGUCCCUUUCUUUAUAAGCUCUGGAAAUCCUUUAAUGAAUCCAUUGACUAUAUUCCUCGCCUAUCUUGCUGGUUCCUUAAUGAAUCCAUUGACUAUAUUCCUCGCCUAUCUUGCUGGUUCCUUUCUUUAUGGUUGCUAUCUCGUACCUUAUGUUUUAGUGCUAAAGCUUCCUACUGCCCUAUUUGUUUCCCCCUCUACUAGGCUAAUGAUUCUGCUUGAGUUUAUACUGUUUCCCUUGCCGAUUCCUCUUCUCUUGUAUUGCUCCACUUUCCUUCCCGCUUACCCUUACUUGGAAUCAUAAGCUGACUAUGCUAAUGCUGACUCAACAAGCAGGGGUCCAACUUCAUAAUGCGCGAUAAGUCAAUCAGUUUCAUCUUAUAUAGAAGCCUCAGCCGAAUGCCCAUCGAUACUUGUUUAAUAUCAUCUAGAUAAGAGCUUUGUAUAGAAAUCAAGUCACUGGACUGGACACUCCGCUCCAAAGCCACCCUACCUACCUGUAGACCAAGAUCAGAAGCCUAAGAUGGAUCAGUAGUUUCAACAGAAUCAUCAGCCCUUAAGUAAUUGGUUUAGGCAGUAGAUCCCCUUAAGAGUUUCAUCUUUGUUUGUUAGUGAAAAGAGUCCCGAGUUAACCUUUCUUUUAUGCCUGGGCUUCCCUUAUUAAGAACUAGUCCGUAUUUGGGUGUUCAUCGCCUUAGUCAAAAAAUUCCAUUCUAUUCUGAAGUAGUAGGCUUUACUCGGGGAUUCUUCAGUAGUAGCUUUUACUUGGGGAAUGUUUUCUACUUUCUUAUCCGCUAGAUCUAUCCCUAUUCUUCUCCAGACACUCACUCCUUUGCUAAGGUUAGCUUGUCUCUUUGACUACUUAGUUCAAUUCAUAGGUAGGGUUGCAUUAACACUUACUAUAAGAACUAUUGUCAAUUCACUCUUAUAAUAAUCACAGAUAGAGCGUAAUGUAGGGCAACCCCCUUUCCCUGCAGCUGAAGUCAAAGAAUUCACUGGCCUAGAUCCAUAAUGCCUAGCUCCAUCCUAUUAUUCUCUCCAUCCUAUUAUUCUAAAGUAAACUUUCCUGCGUAAUAUAAGUAAGGCACCCCGACCCGACCUCUAUACCUCUUGGCACAUAAGUGAGGAAUUGAAUGGAACCUAUGGAGCACCCGGCUAAUGAUCUUAGAACUGGAAGAAGCUUUUAACCGAUCUUAUAACUGAUAUGAUAUUCUUUCUUUCUUUAGAAUAUGAUGAAACUACGGGCCAAGCUACGAUACAUUAUAACUCGUUAUAACCAAAUCCUGUUUAAACCCAUAUUGUGUAAGUAGAGCGUCAAGAUGAGUUGUUUUCUGGUUUAUUUGUUCUUUCUAAUUUAUUGUUCGAUAGUUUUCUCCCAUCAUUCUUAUCACUUAGGGCUUACUAGCUACUAACUUAGGGCUUACUACUAACUACUAACUAGCUUCGGGCAAUCGGUGGUCUAGUAACUGACUUCAACAACUACCCGCCUCUACUUCUUUUGUUUUAGCAUAGCACCCGACCUCUAGUGUUAACGCCUAACUCUCCUCUGUCAAAAGCCAAUCUCUUCUCUCACAGACAAAGAAACUCCACUUUCCUUUUAUUGCUACCAAUACAAGGUAAAGAAUCCAAGUUUGUUAGCCAUAGGCAUAGGAGAGGAAGUAUUGUCAGAGGUAGCUACCGGUAGUUAAGGGCUUACUUUAUGCUAAGUUAAGGGCAAUAGAGUGCUUGAUGUCGGUCGUGGAGAAAAGUCAUUGUCCCGCUUACACACAACUCACAUCUUACUCUUAUUGGACUUGGUAUGGUACUAGAGAAAGACUCAUUUGAAGACAUAGGCUAAAUAGGGACUCCAAAGGAAGGCAGUUAUCAUGUCUGAAUCCGGACUUGGUAAUAACAUAGAUUGCUCUUCGGUCUUAGACAGCUCCUAAAGAGAUAGUCACUACCCCUCCGCUCUUAACCUAAUCAAUGUCGUAUAAGAAUUGGACUUGCUAGUUCUAAGAGAGAAAAGAUGAGAUGCCCAGCAAGAGCAAGAGAGAGAAGACCGGUAGGCAUGAGAACUGUAUUGCCAGGUCAAGUUCCGGAGCAUUAGAUUACAUAGCCCACCUCUCCUCGAAAGUAACUGAGGAUAUCCGUUGCCCACCUCGAAGACCCGCUUUCAGCUUACUUGAGAACAGAAACAUCAUUAAUGAGAACUGGAACAGGCAAUUCUCUUUGAACUCAAAACUCGGAAUUGACCUACCGUUUCUAAGACCUUUACUAAAAAGAAGGAAUCCAACAAAUAAGUGUGAGAAUGAAAACACCAACUAUUAGAAUCAAAAGCAAAGGCUCUAACUAGUGCUCCUUACUUAUGAUAAAGAAUCCCACGACUACUCACGGGGCUUACUGUCCUUUAUCUAACCCUCCCUCUACUCUUCUAUGCGUAUAACACAUGGGUUGGUGGACUACCAAUUUCGACUACUCUACAGUAAAUAAGAGAACAACUAGGGACUCGGAAUCAAAUAAGUAAGGAAAAGAAUAUAAGGACUCGGAAUCAAAUAAGUAAGGAAAAGAAUAUAACUACCAAGAGAAAGAUCCAGACCAACGCUAAAGAGAAUUGAGCUAUAAUAGCUAUCAGACUAAGACACUGCCCCAACAGACUAGAAACUUCAACUAGGGGAUCCAACUGGAGAUAACAAGGCUCGGAUCACUGCUAGCAGGACUGUAUGACCUACACACAUCAAUAAGACUUUACUGCCGCUCCUAACUACCAAACGGGCAUGGCAUCCCUUAAUCCAUUUAUGGCCUAUGAGUUCGGGCCUACCUCUCUUCCUCGCAAACAGGCACUCCCUUCUUGCAUUCCUUAUUGCCUGCCUCGCCUUUAGUUAAGUCUACCUUUCCUUUCUUCCAUUCUCGAUUUCCGGAUUGAUUCCAAGCCAGCAGCUGACGCUGCCCUUGCUUUUGAGAGUGUAGUGCCGUAUUUAUGUAAGUAGCGUGUCAUGUAAUAGUAAGUAGCAUGCCAUGUGUUUUAUUGGUUUCAUAUAAUAUAUAAUAGUAGCCCCUGUGUAUGGUACGUAACCUUGAUUGAUACAUUGAUUGAAACCCGCGUAUGGCACAACACACCCACGACUAUUGACUCUUAAGGGAUGUGUUCCGUAGGGGUAUGUUGUCGGUGUUCGAUAGAAGUUUAGAGGAAAGAAUAACUAGAAGAAUGGACUUUAGAUAGUAUUAAUAGAAGUGAAUAUGAUAAGCGAAAGAGUGUAGCGGCAGUCUACUUACACCAGUAGCUCUACUCUUAUUGGUAUUGAUUGGAUUCCUUGUUAGUAGAGGUGGUUUCCCAGUUUCUGACCUUUGAGUUGGUUUCCCAGCCGAGUGGGGGAAGUCCAAGUUUCGAGUUGGGUUCAUCUGUAAUCGAAUAAUGAAUGAAUAUAUUAUAUCAUAAUAGAGUCCAAAGCUCAGCUCAGUAAUAGAAUCAUUGGUGGCAGGGUCAAGUCAAAUACUGAUAGAUGCGAGAUCCGUGGCUAGAGGACCCGAUGCAGUGUUUAAAGAAAGAGAGGAGGCCUGUGGUGUGAAAGAGGUUGUUGGGUUGAAAGCGAGGGAAGGGACCAAGCAACGGGCCAAUCAACUACUACAAAGGCACAGAGGGGGACAAGCCAGCCGAUCCUUAUUUCUUCGUAGGCGAGCGGGAGAGUUAGUGACCUAUUCUAUAUCAAGGGUUAGUUACCUAUUGCUCUUAACCAACCAGUGCUUCUUAGACUCCCUAUAGAAGUUAUCAGAGAGAAAGGAUUUUCAAGCAAGGGUAAACUGCGGCAUACAAUCAGUUCAGUUCACCAGUUUACAGGGGUUUGGUAAAAAAUAAGAGAAAUUGACCUACUUCUCGCCACCCCACCUGAGGAGUAUAAUUGAGAGUUAUAGGCUUUAAACACCUGAUUGGGAGUGACUUGUAUAGUAGUGUCUUGCCUAGUCUUGAUCCAACAAGCAGCCAAGCCGACAAUGAGUAAAUAUAGGUUGACAGCCCCAACUAGACUACCGGUACCUACCAUAUCUUAUAUUUGGAGUACCUAUGGAAUUCUAUCCCUAGUAGUUAUCGGGCCAAGGAACUACUUCAAAGCCAAAGAAAGAGACUACACUUAUUCUCUUGCCCACCUCUCGGAGAGGAGAGGAGCCUAACUUACUAGCCUUCGCAUUCAACAUUCCAUUCUUUAUACGAUGACUUUCAAUCCUACUCCACGAGACCAACCACUUUGAGCGUAGAGCGUACGCGGCACAUUGCCGACCAGAGAAGUCAGGAAUACGAGUAGAUUCCACCUACCUAUGUUCUUUGGUUACCAUAUUCGAUAUGUGUGUCAGUCAGUUCAAAUAUAUGACUUUUCUUUCGCCCAAUAGCAUUAGCGAGUUUACUUGCACUCUCUGAAACAAGCUUUAGGCGCUAAGGGAUAGCCUAUCAACUCUAUGACUACACUCGAACUAGGCGAACAAAAAGACAAGAAGGGCAAAAGAGGAUAUUCGGUUUCUGGAACUCUCCUUGAAGUGAAGAAAAAGAAUAGAUAUCUUAGAGCAUAUAUCUAAUUUAGGAAUGAAUGUCAUCCAGCAGAAACUCCGUAAGCUUAAGUAGUUCGCUAACGGGAGCUAAAGAAGGCAAGGCCAACACUCGCAUCGCAAACGGAAAUGGAAUAUCUCUCUUAUUGAGCACAUGGGGUAUAGUAUCGAUUUUUGUAACAAGAGAGUACACUCCAUAGCCCUUACUUUCUCCGGAGUCUUAGACAUUUUUGCCUAUAAUCUUGAGACCCUCUUAACAUCUUAAAUACAUAUUGACCCUCUUGCUCUGUAACUCCGGACUUAUGUAUUUCAUUAGAACUCCUUUAACUCCGUACUUUGGGGUGGAAUUCUGAUAAUACUGUUAUGGCUCUGGACUACUUAUACCACUAGUUGGGGCAAGAACUAUACUGGAAUAGCUUCCCUUUAUGAGCAAGUCCUUGCUAGCGCAUCUAGUAUAUCUUAAUUCUUCUAUCGAGCUGGUACGAUCUAGCAUGCAUAGCUCCAGCCCCGGAUUCUCACCUUAUCGAGUCGACUUCAAUGGAAUUGCAUUCUGAGUUUAGGGUUGACUUCACUUAGUUGCCUUAACUCUCUAACACUUCUUUCUUGCUAAAGUCUCUAAGGUAGGAAUAUGACCCUUUGUUUCUAUAUGGAUGAUAUUCCUAUUGAUAAAAGAAGAGUUCUCGGGCAAGAAGAGAAUCAAGUACUGGUGAGGAGUAGAGAUCAUACGAGUAUAUUUCUGUUCUUGCGGGAAAGGAAGCCGAAUCAAAGUUCUCUUGCCCACUACGCGGAUUAAGGUUAGCUAAGCAAACUACUAAUAAACUAUCAGAAUUAUGCUAAGCAAACUACUCGUGGAAUUAUUAGAAUCUAAUAACAUGCUACUAUUACAUGACAUGCUACUUACUAUUACCAUUAUUAUUAUUAUUAUAGAAUAGAUAGAUAAGUAACCGUAUUAUUCUAUUAAGAGAAUAGCACUGCACUAAUGAACCCAGCCACUGUCUAAUAGGCUUACUGCCCUUACUUACAUUAUCAAUAAAAGAAUCAAGAGUUUACACAAUAACUAGUUCUCUCGGGUAGGCAGGGAGAAUGCCACUGGGGUGCUUUCUAAUUCUAAUACUGAACUAACUAAUACUGAACUAACUGCUAGCAAAGAACUAGCACCAAACUAUACAAAACCCACUCGGAUUCUUUAAGCACUGAUACGGAUCUUUGCUUCACUAGCUCCAAAGCCCCUACUACUGAUUUGGAUCCUUCCUCUCAAACCUAUAACCCUAGCUCUUACUGGCCAAACCAACUAGAAGUCUCCCAUUACUUUAUCUUAGCUUGACACCGCUUACGGCUGUUUAAACUGAAGCUGCUGAUAAACAGACUCGAACUACUAAUCAAAGAACUAACUAAACUAGGAACUAGGGGGGCUACCCAUACUUGAACUCAGUGCACCGGAGAACAAGAAUCAAGCUAGCCACUAUCAGAAUUUCACCAAGCAGUAUAAAAGAAUGCAAUUCAUAAGUAAAAGACCAACUAAAAGACCUCAACAAGUACUAGCUUUGAAACAAGGUAAAGAGGAGAUGGGUCCUUUUCUUAAUAGUGCUUGGAUUACCACCUUAUAGUCGAGUUCUUUGCUUUCCCGAGCAGUGCUUGCUUGGCUUUUUACCUUAGUUGUGUCGUGGAGAGAGAAUCGAUGCAGUGCGCUUGAUUGACUAGCGGCCCUGCCGUUCCUAUAGCUCGCUACCGCGCCUAACGAGGCUUGGUCAUUAGUAGUGUCUUGGCGGGUAGGGGCGGAUAAUCUACUUGAGUUCGAGUUUCCUCUAGGUUGCGAGUAAAUGUUAUCUUAUCGAAAUAGAAAUAUUUGAGAUAUAGAAUUUCUAUUGGAUAUUGGGGAGCAGCUGCUCCUAGGCUAGGCGAUUAUAAGAUUAGUUUCGAGUUUAUGCUUUCAUUUCGAAAUUGAACUCUAAGUUAAUAAAAAGAAGAAUGGGCUCCGUAUGAUAUAAGUCAGUAACCAAAUGAGAUAAGUAAGUAACCAAGGAUAGGAGAUAGGUAUAAAAGUUCCUGUUCUAGGAUCAGAAGUUGCAAGCGGCGGGGCGCCCAGAAGAAUCAUCCUUAGUUCUCAAGUCAGCAGCCCACGAUUCUGCAAAUGAAGGAGAGGUUGGCCAAAGGGAACAAGUGCUUGUUAGUUAAGUCGACAUCAACAAUAGAAGAAAUAGUCGAAAGGAACUCAGCAGCAAUGAGGUGUGGAUCUCGAUGAUAAUAAGAAUCAAAGGAUUGCGCUAGGUACGAUAUAAAGAAGUAACCGACCAUGUGCUCUUAACUCCCAAGCCAAAUCUGAAUUCCACAAAUGAGUACAAAAAUGUACCUACAUCUUGUCAACCCAGAGUACUAGUAUAAUCUUAACAAAGCUAAGUAGAAAUAUGAUCUGAUAUAAGAAAAAACAAAUUCAGAGUGGAACUUGGCAUAGAAACUCGUAAAGACACUGAACGCACAAGGACACGCACUUCUGGACCAAUACUGGAAUCUGUAACUGGCAAUUCAUAAGCUUCAUAUGCUCCUGCUUCUUAUUCAGCUUCGUAUAAAUAUAUCUUAAUUGUAUUUUCAUACCAUAUAGGUUCUAUUACUAACUCACUAACCAUACUAUUACUAACCAUAUAGAUUCUAUUACUAUUAAGUAACUAUAUAAGUAAUAUAGAGUGGAGUAAUGAUUAGGAGAAAAUGAUAUAAGUAAUAUAGAGUGGAGUAACGACUAGAGGAGAAAAUGCAAAGUGUCAGUGGAAGUUGGAAAGCAAGUAAUGGAAGCUGACAAGCAAGGCUUAGAGUCCAGGGAGGCAGACUAACAGGGUAAAUAAAGGAUUUCAAGGUGUGGGUCGGUGCUAUAGUUUCUAGUUCAAUUCCAUCUUGUUGGCUCGGAGGGGCAUACUGGAACGAGAGCCAGGGUAGGUAGGGAGCAAAACGAAGAAGUAUCUGAUCACCCAUCAAAGAGAAGAAUGCCAGGAACGCGAAUCUAAGAGGAAUGCCGGGUACAAAUACAGAUGUGAGGUCGCGAGGGGCAAGGUUAAGAGUUCGCAGUGACAUACUAAGAAUAGAGUAGUGGAUCUAUCCGGUAAUAGAGUAGUAGAUCCAUCCGGGUAGUGAGUCACAUUUCACCCAGUAUAGUAUCCAUUCUGAUUAGUCGUAGUGUGAUUACUCGUUUCUAGAUUCAUUCUGUUAGUAGUAUAAUGGUAGUAUAGUUGGAUGCGCCCUACAUCGUACUUAUUCCUAUGCCAGAGGAUUCUAUUCUUAUAGUUAGAGUAGUUAAGGAAUACAAGUAAGUAAAGACAGACUGAUAGAUUCGAAGGGCAGGCUAACAGGUGAUAGGAUAGGAUCUAUCGGUAGUUAAGGAGUCCGGUAAAAUUGAUAGGUUCAAAUCAUAAUCAAGGGCGGCCCUAAAGAGUGGGUACUAGGUUCCGUUACGUACUAGGUUCAAGUCGAGUAAGUGGAUCGUUGGUUAAAGGAUAGCAGUAAAUCAGAGCAGAUUAAUCGUUUUUAGUAGCUUGGUGACUUCGCUAGAACAUAUAAGAAUCAAAGUCAGCAGCUAAAGAAUAGAGGCUCAGAGUGAGAGUUGGUAGUGAAAGCCCGAGAAGAGAGAUACACGGAAUGAAAGGCAUGAGCCUCAGCUUGUAAGUGAUACGUAAAUACGGGAGGUGAAGUUUACCUUGGAGACUUGAUCUUAGAGACAGGAACUACAGACUCAGGGCGAGUGUAAUAGAAGAAUCUCGGGUGAGCUGAAGAAUGAGAGCAAGGGCAGCAAAGCAGCUGGCUAGAAAGCAUAGUUUCAGGAUGAAAACAAGUCACGUAAGCCUGAGUUAUCGUAUGAAUACUUGUCGAAGCGAGUUGGUGCGCUCUUUCUGUAAACAGCAGCUCUCGCUCUUCACUUCAGCAGAAGCUAAUCCCGAGGGUCUGUGGGAAAUAGGCUUUGAUUGUGGAAUUCGGCCAGUAAGCAUGAUGAGUCAACAGUUCGGCACUACCCUUUCUUGCGGAGGCCCUAUACUAAUAACUUGGCUUGCAGGACAAAGGCAGCUACACCGGCGUUAGCGAGCUUGGCUUUCCUUCCCUUUCCUUUUGCUACCCGAUCGCUCUUUUGACUUUGGCUCUUUAUCUGUAUACUAUUUAUUAUACACAUCCCCGUUUCUAAUCCAUAAUAAAGAGAUGAGUUAGGAUUCACUAAAUAAUAAUAAAGAGAUGAGUUAGGAUUCACUAAAUAAAGGACAAAAAGAAUCAAUGGGCCACCCACAGGAGAACCAACCCUUUCUCGUAUCUGGCACUAAUCCUUUUUGCACUUAGAAUUGGAAUGGAAUAACUAAUAGAUUGAGCAGCAGCUCGUAGAGACCACCUUCCUUAUAAAGAAAUCAAUAAAGAACAUAUCUCUCUUAUCUUGAAAUAAAGAACAUAUUGAUCUUAUCCUAUAUCUUGAAAUAAAGAACAUAUUAAUCUUAUCUUAUAUAUAUAUGUGUAUGUUUCUAUCCAUAUCCUGACAUAAGAAGCCCAAUAGGAGCAAGCAAUACUGGAAAGGGCGAUCCGAAAGACCUAUACGGAGAUCGGCUAAAACGCCCCAAAGGCAUUACAAAAAGCACUUAGUAGAAUGGAUAUGCCCACUAUAGACAAUACUAAACAAACUCUCAUUUCUUCUAGACGGUAUAAGGUCCUCUUUUCUUUCAAAGUGUCUUCUAUCUGCUAGAGCUUGAAUCAUUCCCAAGGUUUUGCCAAUACGUUGUUGUAUCGCUGCAGAUAUUUCUCUUUCUAACCACACAAUGAAAAGUACUUCCUCCUAUUGUAAUUCCGUGGUACAAAGAUCUAUAGGAGUCCAUAUACUAAUAUAUAACUAAGGAUUCCGAUGUCUCAAAAGAAAUGGUCGUUUUUACUUCGAAUCGAAUUAGGCAUUAAUUUCUGAUCUAUUACGCUUCACUUCUAAAUGAUCAUAGGGUCUGUCUCCUCCAGUAAAGCCUUUCUAGAGCCUGUGGAAUAAGAGCAACAAUAUGGAUUUCUUCAUUUCACCGAUAUUCGUACCAAAUAAUGAGCUAAGGCUUUCAGCUCCUUCCUUUUGCCAUUGUACUUUCCCAAUCUCAUUCAUUGUCAAACUCAACAUUAUCAAUGGAAGGCGCAAUGAUAGGUAAGCAGUCUACGAAGCAAAGCCCCUUGCAUUACAGAAAUAGUUAUGAACUGACUCCAUUCCCUUAGUCUCCCGCCAAGCUAGCUAAUCUAAUAGUUUCUAGUUCCAUUCCUUCUUCUUAACUUUAACCAACACUUAAUUCAGAACGAAGGCCACCAUCCUUCUUAUUCUUUAUUGAUUUCUUUCUCGAGUGGAUUUCUGGGUGCUAAGGCCCUGGAAAGGGGAGAGUAGCUGAGUGGUCAAAAGCGACAGACUGUAAAUCUGUUGAAGGUUUUCUACGUAGGUUCGAAUCCUGCCUCUCCCACUUAUUGUUGUUGUAGACUCAAGAUAAGAUCAAGUAGGCGUCAGCGUAGGCCGAGCGAAGCUCUUUCUCUUUAGUAAGAUAGACUAAUUGCAAUUGUAUCGUAUGCUAGUUAGAGAGGUUGGCGAACAACUACGAUCGUUAGAUAUUCCCAUUAUCAGCUAUAUCCAAUCCCAACUAGAAUAGAAGCUAGGCGUAGGCUUUACGUCUGUCGGCACACGCAUGCACCCUUAAUAAUGCCUCCUUGGUUCGGGACAAAGCCCAGCGAUACCCUUACCCAGCAGCCAGCAGCCAGCAGCUGACGCUGACCUUACUUUUCCGUUUCAAACUCCUCGAAGCUUCUUAGCCCUCGGAAGCAAUGCUCUGUUUUUCAUAGAUUCUCCACUUUAGAUUAACGCUUCUAUACUCGAUCUUAACGCUAUAUUCUUUAAGCAUCUUAACGCUAUAUUCUUUAAGCAAUGCAAGUAUGAUCGAGGAUUGGACUUUAAGCAAUGCAAGUAUGAUCGAGGAUUGGAGAGGGAUAGGUGGAUUCAAAAGCUCAGGAUGGAAUGGAAUUCAGAGUCUUUGUGCGAGCCGUAUGCGGUGAGAGUCGCACGUACGGUUACGAGGGGGGUUAGCGUCUAUACUAUAAGUUUCUCAAACCCACCCUAUUUGUUCCAUGAUCUAUGGGUCUACUGGAGCUACCCACUUCGAUCAAUUAGCCAAGAUUUUCACCGGAUACGAAAUAACUGGUGCUCAAUCUAGUGGUAUUUUUCUUGGGAUUCUCUUUAUCGCAGUAGGAUCCCUAUUCAAGAUCACUGCAGUUCCUCUUCGGGCGGCUGUAGGACGGACGGCCCCCUAUAGGUAUACGCGUAGGAUGGGUGGUACCGCUCAUAUUGUGGCUAAUCCUCCUAACUGCACGCUAGAGCGCGUGAAACUAAUCACUACCUCGUAAGAGCGUUGAGACCAUAGCAUGUUACACAAAAGCUAGCUUUCUCCGUAGUGUUGUCACACAGCUGCCCGACUAGAAGAGCCACUCGCUCAGUAGUGUUGUCACACAAGAUAAGCAUGCCUUAGCCAGCAGGCCGGGCGAAUCUAAGUUCUCUUCCGGUCAACUGUCCACCCAGUCAAGUGCAAAAAACACAGUGGAAUCACGCAACGCACGUAGCUGGUGUGCUUCCUGCCCACGAGGAAAGAAGAGCGACAAGGAUAAGAUUUCACUGUUUGCAGCAUGGGAGCUGAUUACCCAAAUAAUCCCUGGGAAAAAAGAAAAGAUAUCUCGGUAACGAAAACCAUAGGAGGCUGUAUUAGCGAGAUCCAACGGUGAACUGCUGCCCAAAAGAAAACCGCCUGGAAGUCCGAGGACCUUUAGUACCUUACCCUAAACCUGAACCAGCAGCCUUCGCGCCAAGCAACGACCGCCCUUGUCCCCUUUGCUUUUUCCAUUCCGCCUACUUCCUAGCUUUGUUCAGUCAGUCUAAGGCUUUGCUUCAGUGGUUCGCUUACCCACUUUAUUUAGAAAGGGAACGAACUUCACUUAAUUAUAGGAUUUCGAAAGGGAACUCACUUCAUUAUAGGGUUUCAUAGGAUUUCGAAAGGGAACUCACUUCAUUAUAGGGUUUCUGGAUUUGCUUUCCAACCCAUAGAAUUCCUUAAUUUCAUGUAGUUAUUAGCUUUCCGUUUUUCUUUGAUGCUUACGGUUGCUCCUAUACUUAGAGGGCUCAUUUUCUUUUCCGCGGGCUCUUCUUUGAAGCUAUAGUUUGCUAGCAGGGUAUGCUCUUUAGAGUUUCUGGCGCACUAACGCUUUUAUGCCUCAAGAUGCUUACGUUAGCUGGGACCGCAUUCAAUAAUAAUGAAUAGUGGGGAAUUCCAAGAAUAUCCAAUUUUCACAAAGAGGUAUUUUACGAAGAUCUUUCUAUCAAUAGAUAGGAAUGAGUGUUCAGGGGAUAGGAUCCAUCUGCUCUCUCUCUAUUUGAUUUGAGUUUCAAUCCAUCUGCUCUCUCUCUAUUUGAUUUGAGUUUCCAUUUCUGGAUCAAUAACUAUCCAAAAUAAUAAGAUAGGUAGAUUCUUACUAUCCAAAAUAAUAAGAUAGGUAGAUUCUGAAAUAAUGGAUACAUAGAAAUCCAAAGGGAUGUCCAUGUUAUUCCUAUUCAUUGAAAACGCAGAAGGCCGAGCGAGGUGCUGAAAGCCUUCGGGCUUUGCCUUCCCUUUUUCUAAUGCCUUACUUCUUUUGCCCUAUUUGAGAAUGAAUGCCUUCUUUUCUUUUGCUUGCCCUAUUUUAGAAUAAGGAAUUUCGGCUCGGGAAAGCGCUGGCAACAACAUCAAGGAAGGGGUCUAUGUAGCUGCCCGCCUACAGAGCAGCAGGUUCGGCAUCUACUACAAAUGAUAUAAUCCACUUAUUCUAACAACGUCUGUGCUAGGCAGCGUGUGGAAUGGAACUUAUUAACAGGCCUUUUGGAUAUAUAAUCCAAGCCGAUAGUGGAGUUACGUGAACAGCCGUCUGAUGGAAAACCACUUUCAUGUUCGGUUCAUAGAGCACUUUUCUCGUUGAGAAUUCCUCGUUCUCUUUUGUGUGAAUUCCCCAGCUAGAAUUAACCACUUUUGGGGCCGCCCCGAAGAAAACCUCCCUCUCUCUCUCUCGCUCGGACUCAAUCUCUCUUUUGACUCAAUAUAUGUGGGCACCCGAUAUCUAUGAGGGUUCACCCACCCCGGUUACAGCAUUCCUUUCUCUUGCGCCUAAAAUCUCUAUUUCUGCAAAUAUGUCACGUGUUUCUAUGGUUGGUUCCUAUGGAGGUACAUUGCAACAAAUCUUCUUUUUCUGCAGCAUUGCUUCUAUGAUCUUAGGAGCAGUGGCCGCCAUGGCCCAAACGAAAGUCAAAAGACCUCUAGCUCAUAGUUCGAUUGGACAUGUAGGUUAUAUUCGUACUGGUUUCUCAUGUGGAACCAUAGAAGGAAUUCAAGCACUACUUAUAUAUAUUUGGAUUUAUGCAUCAAUGACGAUGGAUGCAUUCGCCAUAGUUCCAGCAUUACGGCAAACCCGUGUCAAAUAUAUCUCUGAAUUAGGCGUUCUAGCCAAAACCAAUCCUAUUUCGGCUAUUACCUUCUCCAUUACAAUGUUCUCAUACGCAGGAAUACCCCCGUUAGCCGGCUUUUGUAGCAAAUUCUAUAUGUUCUUCGCCGCUUUGGGUUGUGGGGCUUACUUCCUAGCCCUAGUUGGAGUAGUUACUAGCGUUAUAGGUCGUUGGGCGGCCGGAAGGUUGCCAUGAGUCAGGUUUGGGAAGGCAGUAUUCCGUGCACUGGACACGUAGCUUACCGAAUCAGUUGCGACACGGAUUGGAAUGCAUACUACGAAAUCAAGGGUAGAGUCUUAUACAUAAACCGUCGACUCCAUAUCCUUGUACGAGUCCACAAUCACUACACGAGAUGAACCUGGGUUUGGUGAAUAUAAGUUUGCCUUAGGUCUAAUAGGACUCCCAGUUACAGCGCGCUAUCGUAUACUGAGGUGCUCCCCAUCGGUAGUUGGAACGACGCGGGCCUUGAUUCAAUUCAUCAAGAUUCAGGGACAGAGGAUUUCAGCACCUUAUCAUUUUGGGCAGAAAACGAAUCGACAUCUCCUUGUGAUAAAGCCCUUUCAAUUGAAGUUGGGAAAGAACGGCGAAGUCCAUCCGAAAAACAAACCCCCAAUGAAUAAAUCAGAGGAGAGCCAAGUUUCAAUGGCGCGCGAACGAAGCGCAUGCAGAACGGGCACGGAUAGAGAAAUACAUAAGUGUGGUGGAAGAGACCGAGCUCAUUCCUUUCACUUACUGGGCUGGGCGCAGUGCUUUGUUUCCUGGCAAAAUCAAGGAUUUGGGGCUUAUUCCAAAAUCAAUAGUCUUAGAAAGAGAAGAUGGAUCCCAGAGUCUUAGAAAGAUAAGAUGGAUUAAAGGCAUCGAUUUCUUGUUUCUACUUAUAUCUAAUAAAGGCAUCGAUUUCUUGUUUCUACUUAUAUGUUUCUACUUAUAUCUAAUAAAGGCAUCGAUUUCUUGUUCGCCCCCCCGCUUCAGAAACGGCUCCGCAGCAAUGGAUGGCAGAGGGUCCGUAGUACCCGAAGCACUGGAGUUAUACAGUAACCGGGAAGGGACCUAGAAGUGCCUACAACUUACUACUCAACUUGGCUCCACACAUUUACAGAGCUAACCCCUGUCCAGUGUCUGGCAGAACGUUUGGGGCUUCAAUCCGGACUCCUUAUCCCCUCUCGGCUAACAGAGCCUUACUUAUUCAGGGGAGAGAGUAUAGCCUCGAGAAGCACUCUGGAGAGGAAGAUCCUUUGGCCACUCUUCAUUCUCUACUUUUCUCUCUGCCUACAUGGAAGCGGGGCAGUGAUGGAAAAGAUCAAACACGGGUAUUUCUUUCGGGCUUUAGCAUACCAUAAGAUCAUACACAUUUCUCAUUCCGCUGACUUUCUUUUUCGUCUCCACAAACUCAGAGAAAGAAUCAUCUUCUUCAACUUACUAUACCUAACCCCUUCCUAGAGCCGUGUAUUGUAAGUGAUCCGAACCUGUCCCUUCCUAGAGCCGUGUAUUGUAAGUGAUCCGAACCUGCCCGGAGUGAGCCCCCAAACAAUAGGCAAGUUCCGUUGGUGAGCCGUAUGAUGGGCAACUAUCUCCUGCGGUUCGGAGAGGACUCAGCUCUUAGUUAGUACCCGCUUAGUUUCGGGUUAGAUCUUUUCACUCUAUUUAAUUAUAUAAGAAUAGCGAAAAGAAUGUUUUUUGAUAGACCUAGGACAUGGAUUCUAUUUAAACCUAUGGAUCGUGACAAGUCGUUACUACUAGCAAUGACUUCCUCUUUCAUUACUUCAUCCUUUCCAUAUCCCUCUCCCUUGUUCGAUCUUACUCAUCAAAUGGCACUCAGUUCAUAUCUUUAAGUUCGAUCAUUAACAAACAAGGUUCAAAGAAAGGGUGGGACAUUAACAAUGAAGGAUCCAACACUUUGGAGAUAGGCUAGAAUUUACCACGCCCAACUAACUACAGCAGAAAAGAAUAAGCUAACAAGAAUAAGCUAACAAGCAACGGAAUUGAACCAAGACUUAAUAAGAAUUUGACUCAUAACCGGGAAUUGAGCUAGCGACCUCAAAGCUGUCUUUCUUUACAUAAGUUUUACUUCACUUACUAUUAAACUGGAGCUAAUGCCAACAAGAGAAGAGUCAAAACCGAGCAUGGGAAUCAAACCCAGUGAUAACAAGAAUAACCCAGUGCUAAGUGCUAACAGGACUGUAGCUCGAACCCGGGAAUGAAACCAGUGCUAUGAUAACUCAACUACUCAUAAAAAGCACUCUUCUAGGAAGAACAGGGAAUCAAACUAAUAAGUAAGAGAACGCAUCCACUAUCGAGAAGGCUGAAGAAACCAACUCCAUACAAGAAAGCACUAAUACCGAUAAGCUUGGCACUGCUUUCUGUCAUCCCCGCUACCUAACCAACUUGCUAAGCCCUACUCUGUGGGUUCACCCGUAGCGCUCCGAACUUGAGUCUUAGGCUAUUGACUUGCAUUCUGUAGUUCCCUUAUUGGUCUUAUUCCCUGGGGGACCUAAUCUUACUUGAAAGCUUCCCUCCUCGCUUAGAGUCUUACUGCCCUGUCUCCAACUCUGAAACUACGAGAUACGAGACUAUCACUACCAAUCCGGAUCCUUACUCUCUUUUUCGCUCAAUCAGCCUUUCCCGUCUUAGAGCACAUAUCUCCUGUUUGAGAAUAAGCUGCUGGUGCAAGUGCUUCUGCGCCUCUUGUCAUUAGUAGUGCUCAAGUAUUGUGUUGAGGUAAGAGGUCAGAUCAGGCAAUUCUCUAUUAUGGCCCAUAACUCGUAGUGGCUUGGUUAGUAUAUAUAUACUUUAGGGUUAUACUACUUUAUUAUGUGUUAGUUGCCGGAGUUAGUGGUGAGUGCCUUAGAUGUAUCGGAGUUGCUUGCCCCCUACUUUAGAGGUUAAUUCCCACUAUCGAGAGAAGGAAAUGAAAACGGAAACUCGUGUUAGUGCUCGCCCCCAGUUUCUAACUUUCAUCUAUACCAGACUUCUUUGAAACUACUUGAUGCAGCUUCACCUUUCACUACUCGUCCUGUUUCCUCCCUCUCGUCAACACCCGUAAUUGAACUUGAAUAUAGUCAUCAAUUCUUUCAGUUGACUUUAAAUAGUGAUCGGAAAGGGACUCUCGAUCUGGUGUGAAAGCCUGAAACUCUGUUGCUACUAUCUGUUGCAACUAUAAUAAGAGUAGUGAACCAGCGGUGCCAGACAAACAAAGGACUUGGGAAUAACUCGAGUAGUCCUGUUCGAGUUGAAUCCUAAGUGAAAGAGAGAAAGUGAAAGAGAUAGGAGCCGAAUGCAGGUAGUCAAGAUGAACUCCAGUCCUUGAACUUCCUUAAGUAGUGAUUUGGUCUGUUGUUUGUUGGAAUUGAUUCUCUCGCUGUGUAGUAGGAGUUUGAGAAGUAGAAAGUCAAGUCUAUCGUCCUGGUGGCCCUACUCGAACUACAGUUGUUGCUUGAGAAGUGGAAAGUAGAAGAGAAGUGGAAAGUCGAAAAGGUGACCCUGGGUUAACUCCUCUUAUGGCCCUAUCUUGCCGCACUUACCUGAUGAUGCAUGAAGCCAGCCUAAUCACAGUGUUUGACCUCUUUCUAGGUGCACUAAAUUCAUAAGAAUAACAGUGUUUGACCUCUUUCUAGAUGCACACUAAAUGCAGCCUAAUAACAGUGAUCUCUUGCAAGGGGUGCACUAAAUACAUAAGAAUAAGACAGAGAGCGGGGUGAGUUAAGUGAGUUCAGCGGUUAAAGGGAACAAAACAAGCAACAUCAACUUAUUCAACGGAAGAAACAUCCUUUUUUGAUUGGAGUUUCGCAGUUAGGUUAGGUUCUACUAGUUCUAUUCGUUUUGUUUGCACUAAAUCAUCUUCCACAAGUUUAGAGAGCAAUAGAAGGAGCGAGACUUCACUAAGCUAUAAGAUACAGCGCUGAAGAGGAUAGGACAAGAGACGACUUGGACCACUCCCAGAGAUCAUAGUGCUUUUCUUUUGUUUGCUAAGUUUCACGCCGGUUAACUACCCGUCAUAGGGAAAUCACCAUUCAGUGGACCGCUGUUAUGUUAUAAGUAGUUUGAUUGCUGUUUCAUCGGUUUCUUGCUUGACAAAUAUCAAAUAAGAAAUAGAAUGGAAUGAACACACAUCUAAUAUAAGAGAAAGUAACGCGCAUCCCGACAAUGCUUGAGCACAGUUUCCAAUCAAGUAUAAAGCAGAGGGUAUCUCGUCACAUUGACAGAAAGGAGUUGAGUAUGUUGUGUGUAUUGUAGUAAUGUCAUUCUUUAUUGCGUUAGUUAGCUAUGUGAGAUAACGUAUAGGAAAGUGCUUCGCUUUACCGAGUAGUAGGUCAAGGUUCAGUGAGGGUGUAGCUCAAAGUAACAGAACAAGAAAACAUACAAGUGGAACAAGCAGCGGCGAAUGAACAAGUAAACAAAGCCUCAGUUCUAUGUCAACAACCAACCCCUGUGAGGCUAGGUAUAACAGAGCCAGCAGUAAGCAGUGAACAACCAACCCUUGUUUGCUUUGGUAGAUCGGAGCUAGCUGUCAGCAGUGUUUUCUUACUCCAUUACAUUUGUUGUGCACUCAAUGAUAUUCUUUUGCAACUUUGAUUCCUAUUGAUCAGAAGCAAGCAUCCAGCUGCGCCAGUAGAAACUAUGAUGCUACUUUAGUGUAGUGUUACUAUGCCUUAUAUCAUGUGCUACUUACAAAUAACUAUACUGUUACUUCACACCGGAUUCCUUACUGUUACUUCACACGGGCCUGGCCCUACUGCUCGAAAUCAAGUAGCAAGUCUUCAAGUAUCAAGUCCAAUCCCCAUUCCUUCUGCUCUAAGUCAUUCCUUCUUCGGAGUGUCGUAUGAAAGCAGUAACGCAGUGUUGUGACCCUCUUCUAUAAUGUGUCCCUAACCCUAAGAUUAGGAGUUCUCUUACUAUGCUUCUAUAAUGGGUGUCUCAGAUAAUCAAUGAAUGGUUUACUUCAAACUUAAGCAAACUCCGCCUUGUGUUUAAUUCGCUAUCAGAGUGAAGUGAAGUCUUGUAGUUAGCCUGUCCUGAAUGCGAUACAAUAGAAGUCUUGAGUGGAGUCUCGCCUGUCAGGAAUGCGAUAGCAGUAUCUGGUUUCGUAGCCUGUAACGUUGAAAGAAACAAUAAUCAAUAAGUUUGCUUGUUUGCUUGUUUACCGUUGAGGCUCCUAACGCUAUACUUGAUUAUACUAAGCUUGUUUGUUACGAGAACUAGAGCUAAGCUUGUUUGUUACGAGAACUAGAGCAGCGCAGAGUCAAAGUGGAAUUCUAACUCCAAGGCAAUUGAUGAACCAAUCCAAUGAAUCUACUCUAUACUAUAUUCUAAGGAUUAGAUGGUAGAAUCGGGAAGCAUUAAGCACUAAUACUAGAGAGACACACCUUUUAUCGGAAAAUUCUAUAGCAAAGGGUUUCAACUGGCCUAAUUAGCAAGAUUCGCUGAGAAUGAAAGGGUUCGGAUGGGAUUUCGAUCAGAGGUCUUUUGGCGAAACUGGGCUCAGUAACCUUUUCUAUCCUUCCAUUUCUAAGAGAGUAUUAGCCAUAGAAGGAUAAAGGGCUUGCAAAGCUCCCGCUGUCAUUCCUAUGUCGGGUAUAGAAGGUUAAGAGGAAAACCAAAGGAAGGUGAUGAGCUCCGUUAGCGAGUUAUUAGGCGGAAAGUGGAGAGUUAGGUGACCGCUCCGUGUUCGCCUUUCUUUCCUAUAGCCUUAACCACAUAGUGGGCAAAACUCACCUCAGCAUUAGAAAAAGAGCUUAUUGAUAACGAAUGAUUAAGUCGCACCCCAAGUAUACGAGUUCAGGUCAAUAAGUGGAGUUUCUAGAACAAUCAAAGGAUGUAGUGAGCUUUGGAACAGAAUAAGCAAGGGAACAAACAACGGAACAAGCUUUGGGCAAGAAAAGAAAGAGUACUAAACUAUAGUAUUGUAUAAGGGUCGGGUAGUUAUUGUAUAGUAUUGUAUAGUAUAGGGUGGUUCGUCUGCCUCUAAAUCCUAUUUUCUUCAAGGAACAGCGAAAACAAACUAGUCACAAGACAAGCCCUAUUGCGCUAACUCAUUGGAGCGGGUACGUUAGUAAGAGAGUUUGUGCCAGCAGUCAUAGGUGUCAUGUCCCUUUUUGCCAUCAUGCAUGUUUUACUUAUAUUCUUAAAGCCGUAGCACGUUAGCAAGUUCGGAAGCAAAGCAGUGUUGUUUACCAACUCUCAUAUAUUCAGUAUUCAGCAACAACCAUUCACUUACAUUCAGCAAGCUCCAUUCAGCAACAACCAUUCACUUACAUUCACUUACAUUCAGCAAGCUCCAACAAGCAAAGCAACAGAACAAGUAAACAAGUGCUUAGGUGAGUUAGCCUAAGUGCGUAAGCUUCCCUACUAUGAGUUUCCCGACAAGGAUAGGCGUUUUAGGGUUGACUGAACCAAGCAGGGGAACAAUAAAGGGCCAAAGCUUAGGGACAAGCAACUACUAAUGUUGCGCGGCAGCAAGUAAUAGUCAUAACAAAGUUAUUACGAUAGAUGUUUUCAACGGCAAAAGCAAGGGGUUCGUUUUCAAGCAAUGCAGUGUGUUCUUACCCAAUUCAUUCUAAAGGAAGCAGUAAUCUAAUGUGUCAUAGUGGAGGUUAGGUUAUCUUAAUCAAUAAUAGAAAAAUAGGUGCCUGAAAUGAAUAAUAACCCUGACCUGAGAAAAAGCUUUAGGCUAUGGGUAAGUAGUAGAGAGUUAAAGAAGCCAACAAGCGAGUUAACAAGUGAGCCCUGCCAAUAGCGGAAUUAGGGUAAUUGUAGUGCGAUAGCGAUAAACAGUAUAAUAUGCAAGCAGUGAGUUUAGUUGACUUCUUUUUCUGAGGUAAGUUGACUUCUUUUUCAUAUAAUAGGUGCAUUCUUUUCUUUUCAAUAGGGAUAGCGGCGCACAAAUCACAUGUGUAUAUAGAAAGGUUCACUUACGCACAACUCAAGUAAGCAUCCCGAAACCGAGAGUAACCCUUUGCACUAUUCAUCGUCAGGACUCAACUCGAGAUUCAACUCACACUGAAAGAUACUCAUCGCCCUUUCUUUGAAACUUCCUCUGAUCCAGAUCUUUCAACUGCUUUUGAUCCAGCUAAUGCUGAAGCCUCUGAUUCUAUAUAAUACAAUUCCAUAAAGUAAAGCACCAACCCUCUAUCCACUUAGUAGUAUUGCGAGCAGCUCACCGUUACGUUACUUGUUAGUCAGGACUGAACUGUCUUCCUUCACUCAACUCAACCACGAAUCCAUCUUUCUUGCGCUAAGAUCCGAAUCAUACCGUAGCUGGCAUUGUCUUCUGUAACUGCGGAAUCUAGAUCUCACUUGUCCCGGGCUAACUCUCCUGCAACUAACUAUUCGAAUCAAACUAUCACUUCUGAGACCUGAACCUGUGCUAAUCCCUUGCUACGAGAUAUCGAACCAAAGUAUGGAAUGCGGGGCUGGUAGAAUCAAACUACUAAUGGAAAGGAUGAAACAGGCAAAAAGCAGGCAAUAUCAAAAUAGAGAUAGAGAACACGGAAUCAAACUCUAAACCGGGGAUUACACUGCGAACUAUGAGAGUGGAAAGUUCGGUAGGUAGUUUCAUCUCAUUCCGAAACUGUUGACUAAAGAAUUGCACUAAUACGAACAAGGCUCGAACUCGGAACUAGUACUUUCACUUAUAACAAGGGCUUCUCAUAACCAACCUCGAAAUGGAGAACCAACCCUAAGGCGCAGGCUUCCACUCGAACCUGGGAAUGCUACUAGCGCCUAUAAGUCUGAAAUUACUGAGAAAGGAUAUAGCUCUUCAUGCGGAAUCGAAACAUUCCUAUAAGAAUGGGAACUGGUACCUCUAGGACUUCUCCCACUAACUAGAGCAAUUGAACCACUGAGAUAACUAGACUAAAACAGCUUAUAUAAGACUGAAACUACUUCACAAAAAACAGAAUUCUAUAGGCACUAUAAGAAUAGAAACCAGACAUACGAGACCUUAACUAGGAAUACAGGAUAUCGGGCAUCCAAUCCACUCUAAGGCAUUGACAAAAAAGAAAGACUCGAGCUACUGCUAACAGGACUAAAGCAAAGGAAAAAGCAUUGAACUUAGUCGCCGGGUACUGCCUUGCCAAAACCUAGUCUCGUCCACUUCUCCGAUCAAUAAGAAUAGAACCACUAGCAAACAGGCUAAAUAAUCUGACUUGAACUCUUUCGCUACGUACCACGAAGUUAGAACAAUUCCAGUUUUCAGCGGUAGUGAGUUGAGCUUUACUGGCUUGCAAACUUACACUCCCUUAAGUCUGCUUUUCCUACUUAUCGUUCUAUAAGGCCUAGGUUCCUGCCCUCCAUUCCGUAGUUCGAGCUUGGACCUGCCACUCCCGGAAACAUCACUUUUCUUCAUUUUGUAAAGACUAAUAGAGUGGAUUGAUGGAUGAAACACCAAGAUAAGGAUUAAGAAUAAAACGAGUAAGUAAAAGAACCAAGCAGUAGGGACGUAGACGAGCUCUUGAGUCAGGAUACCCAGGCUAUGAAUUGAACUCAUUAGUCUCAGAGGAUCGGAGGAAUCAACAUACCAGACUAGGCUUCUACCCUCAUAGCAAGGAUGAAAUCCAAACCAUAGAAUGCACCUCAUUAGUCUAGGAGUUUCGAAUUCCUCCAGAGAAUCACCCCUAAUACAAGGGAAUCGCAUGCACCAGUCCAUGAAACAAGAAACAAGUAGAGUUCCACUCUGAAUAAUAAGUCUGAGUUAUUAGAUAUCGUAUCAAUAGUUAUGGGUAUCGACAUGAAACAAAGAAACCCUUAUUGACCUAGAGACCUACAUUGCUGUCUCUCAGGCUUAUAGCUCUACCUUUCAUUCCUUUAGUUAGUUGUAGUAGGCCUAAACUCCUGCUUAAGGUGUAAGGCAUUGGGACUAACCCCCAGAUAGUAAGUCCUAGACUCGAUAGCUGCAUUCCGGAUCUCGUAUUUCAGUAUGGAACUCCCGGGGGACAGCUACUCUACCCUGGUCCGCACCUUAACUCUGUAUUUCCGCCUUGACUCCUUGACUCACCUAUUCCAAACUGAGUUCCCUUACGACAAUUAUUUAUUUCACCUGAGCUGUAUCCUUGUUUGCUAGCUUCCCGCUACUAAAACUAUUAGACCGAAACCCAUACUAUUGGAAUUCCAUUACUAAUGAGAAGACUUGAAAUCAGAACCAAGAUAACAACUAUUAACUAGGGUAAAUCGAACUAAGAAUAUGAGAGAAACCCCACCACUGUUAGAAUCCAACUAGUAAUAAUAGGGCUUUCACAGCUACUACUAUACUGCAACAAGUGCUUCUAAUCCUUAUACUAUACUACUGGAAAGAGUGUGACUCCUAAUAGAAGGAAUGAAACAAAGGCAUAUAGGACGGGAACCGGGAACCCGGGCUAACAAGACGGACUCUGCUCACAGGGAACUCAACCACUACUAGUAAGCAUCGAAACCGGAACUCGGGCUAUUACUUAGCAUAGUGGAUGUAUGGAUGGAGCGCUAGGUCGAUCAGGAUCCUAAUACUGACUUCUAAGGUUUAGAACGGAAAGGAUACUAAUACUUACUUCUUAGAACCAGAGCUAUCUAUAAGACAUUGAGUGGAGGAACGAUGCUAGUUCAUCAGAUGUAUUUGAUUUCUUGGAUUGACUAUUUGACUUAUUAGUUGAGUUAGUUCUCUGCUUUAUUUUAUAUCUACACAGAAUCCAAUCACCAGUAUAAGUCCGUUACUCAGUAGUCGAUUUCCAAACAAUGAGAACAAGUCUUGUUGAGCACUAGUGCAUUCCAAUAUUAGCAGUGAAAUCCUUGGCUGUAGUAAAGAAGGAAUGCAAUGCCAGUGAAACUAUAAGAAUAAAUACAGAAAGAUAAGAGUAACCGGGUGGGGCACUAAGAAAGAUAUGGGGUAGUUUAAGAAUAAGAGCCCGGGAAGGCAUACUUCAAAAAAGGGACGGUGGAUUUAGAGUUAGGAGCGGUAGGGCGUGGCUACUAGCUGCCGGCUUUGCUUCUACAGAUAGUAAUGAGUUGGCUUCUUCUCAUGAGAUAGUAAUGGGUGGGCUUCUGGUCGUCUGGGCUUGGUGCUUCUUCUUUGACUAAUGAGUAGUAUUGAUUUGACUAAUGAGUAGUAUUGAUAUGAUCUAGAUAUAGUCUAUUAUUAGACCCAUCGUACACUAUCUUGCCACCUACUAUAUUAGUAAUAGAUCUUAGGCUAUUGAUUUGAGGAAUGGCAGUAAGGAUGAGAUCGAGUAAGUCCCUCUGUUCCUCCCCGGUUGCAUUCUUUGUCCUUCUUAAGCAUUCCAUUCUUCUACUUACUAGUUGACUUCUGACUUUGGUACACCUACUUCUAUCUGCCCCCUAGCUUUAAGGCUUAUACUAUCUAGUUCAAUUCUGUAACUACUGAGAGGUCAUCUGUUCUUGUUGUUACUGGUUUGGUUCUGUAACUCCUUAGCUUCAGUCUGAGGCAUGUGGGUUGCAUUCUGAUAGUCACUAGCUCCAUUCCGAGUCUAACUAGCUCAAUUCUAGUAGUCCAAGAAUCGAACUAGCUACUAGAAGGCUAAGACUGCUAAAGGCUAACCAGGAUGAAACGAGGGAGUCAAAGACUGAAACUCAUAAGUAGCAAAGUAGUUAAGAGCUUCUUUGGAGCAAGUAGGAGAGUCGUUUCAAAGGCUCACACAGGACUUUCCCCUUCAAUAAGAACAGGAACAUGCCUAGCCUAAUUUGAGGCAAGGAAAGAGCAGUGAAUGACUAGGGAGUGUUACCGGAUUGGAUUCUAUCUUCUAUCUUACCUAGCUCUGGCUCUGUGAACUGUAACCUGGCUCUGGCUAUGUGAACUGUAGUUGCCUGGCUCCUAGUUUAGAGUGUGAGUGUAAAUAAGUAUUUGUAGUAGUUGUAGUAUACGCUUGAGGCGAGGAAGCUAUAAGUACUUAAGUGUGGAAUCUGUUUUCCUAUCAUCAGUCAUCCUAUAUAAAUAGAAUAUAUAAUUUAGUAAGGUUUCCUAUACUGUGUAAGUAGACAAAGCAAGAAAUCAAGAAAGAAAGAAUACAGCUAAGAAUAUAGGUCUCGGAGAAAGAGAAGAAUUAAGGUUUAGUUGCAAGCAGGGAGCUUAGGGACAAGUAGCCCAGGGACAGCCCAGGGAACUUAGGGACAAGUAGACAAGUUUUGAUCUCCAAAGUAGGUAGGAAUUUAUGAAUUGAAGUAAGAGUUUAGGAAUAGAAGUUCAUACCAGAAAGUAGGUAGGAAUUUCAGAUAUUGAAGUCAGAGUUUAGGAAUAGAAGUUCAUACCAGGUUGCCUAUAGGGAAUCCACUCUCGUUGCCUAUACGGAUUCCACAGCUUGUCCAGUAGUAGCUUGGCCUGGAGAAUUGUAUUGGAAUUCAACGAACCCUGCCCCACAAAGUAAGUAAACUACCCGAGUAACUGAAGUCAACUACCCGCGCCUAGUAUAGGAAUUCAAUAAGAGCAGAACAGAAAGAUCUUCAUUCACCAAAACCCGUGAAAAAGGGCAGUGAAGUGAUUUGCCCUCCUGGAAGGCAUCAUGGAAAUCCAAAGUUGGCGUUUUCCCGUCUUUUUUCGUUGCAACCCCGAUUUCCCUCCUGGAAGGUCUGAUUGAAAUGAUCUUUUUCAUGAAACCCGUCUUUUUUCAUAGCUUCGUCCUUUUCCUUCCUGAGCCUAUCCAAUUGAUGGAGAUUUUUAUGAAACCCCGUGUUUUUUGAUAGCAAAUGGAGACUUCCGUACUUAUAGCUUGGCUUCAAAGCCUCUCUUCACUACUACCUCGAACAGGACGACUACUUGCUACCCUCUCAUAAACUACUGGCUCUGCUCUAACUGGUUCUCUGGCCUUUGAACUAGCUUCUGCCCCCGCAGUGAAAGCAUGUAAUUACCUUGCUUAAUUCUCUGUCUUACCGCAACGAAGACAUCUAUUGUAAUAACUCCUAAUAACUAUUCCUUGCUGCCGCCUCGAAGACAGGACUUGGCUCUGAUGCUGACUAGAUCAAUUCUCACUUUCCCACUAGCUCACCGAGGAGGUUCAUUCUUGGACUUACUUGCUUGAUUCUUUAACCACUGAGUGCAAUUCCGUAAUUGGUCAGCUCCAUUCUUAGUGUUAGUGCUUGGCCUGAUACUCCCUGGUUGAAGCCUUAGACUGCUUAGGGACAUUCUUUGACCACUUAGUACAAUUCUGACUUCCCCAACAAGGGGUUAAUUCUUGGACUCACUGGUAUUAGUCUCGUUGUUACUGCUUUCAGGCUUGGCUGUCCCUGGGUUCAUUCCGUUCUUGACUACUUUUAUUCUUUA
This 51044-nucleotide long non-coding RNA is filed under the name Musa acuminata (dwarf banana). The record is from RNAcentral. Lineage: Eukaryota; Viridiplantae; Streptophyta; Magnoliopsida; Zingiberales; Musaceae.